This 45914-nucleotide long non-coding RNA is filed under the name Olea europaea subsp. europaea. The stretch from base 21291 to 21397 matches the Rfam family "Plant small nucleolar RNA R71". Lineage: Eukaryota; Viridiplantae; Streptophyta; Magnoliopsida; Lamiales; Oleaceae. The record is from RNAcentral.
CUCAAAUUACGAAAAAUGUCAAAAGGUUCUUACAAUUGAAAAUAAAAUAGUAUUUAUACUAGGUCUAAAAAACUAGGUAAAAAUGUGCCUAAUAUUUCAAAUAUGGUAAGAAAUCUACUAAGUAUUAAAUUCUAUCAAAAAUAGGAAAUUCGUGAAAAAAUAAAAAAACCACGUCAAAUUUCAACCAUGCGGUCGCAUGGUGUAAAAUCAUGCGGCCGCAUGGAACAUUCGAAAAUCCCGAAUAAUUCCCUGCCUCACUCCAUACGAUCGCAGGACGGUUUUAACCUUGCGGUCACAUGGUUCUUCUCUCCAGCUCCAUCUUCGGCUACUUGAAUCGUGUUGGUCCAAUUGGUUUCGACCUUCGACUCGAACACGAAACUUGUCCAAUUUUGAGUCCUGAACAUGAUUUCAUCGAUGGUUGUCUUCACGAGUAAUCCCAUCGCCUCUUUUGCUCGCUUUGUCCUCGCUCGUGUUAUAGGUCCACCUUCGACUUUAAACGGAUCUUUUCCCGGGCUUGAGGUUGGACUUGAUUUCGUUGCUUGUGGCUCCUAGAUCACAUCACAUCCAUUAGAAAAUCCGUUGAUAAACGAUUCAAUUUUUUUAUUUAUUUACUCAAUACUUUUUUACCAUCAAAUUAGGACGAAAUUGUACCAAAGAAAAACUUCCGUUGGUAAUUUUGUCAUCAAUUUAGUAUGUAAUUUUUAAAAAUGAUAAAAUAGUAAUCCAUUUUUAAUUUGUCGUUAGUCUGUUGAUGAUCGCAACGAAAGACAUGCAUCGCUAAAAUAUCAUCUUUGUUGCCUCUUGUUCUAGGAUUGAUUUUAUUAAUUAUCCCUAAACUAUUAUUUAUAACACAUCACUCUAAAUUUAUUUUGAUGUGAAGUCCCAAAUUUUAUGUUCUUAAAUUAAUUGAUGUGGCCCAUUUAAGAAAUGAGUCCUGGAGCUUGGUCAAUUUAAGAUAAUUAAAGCUCGAAAUAUAAGUAGAUUUAAGACAUUAAGUUUAAAUUAAUUUAAAUGCAAAGAUUGAAUGGAUAACUAAGUGGUAAAAUUUGAUAUCUGCAUGGUAUUUCACUGUGUAGAUCUUUUUUGUAAAAUAUUUAAACGUUUUAGAGUUAAGAAAUUCUCAUUUUCCACAUUAAGAAAGGCAUUCUUAGAGAUAUGUUACAAGUCAUAUAAAAUAUUCAUUUUCCUCCAUUUUACAUGAAAAAUGAAAUUGGCUUUGGUUCACUUUAAAAAAUCCCGUUUAACUAAGCUCAAAGCAAUAGCACUGGUGUAAAGGAAAAAGGUUUCAAGAAAAUCAAGGUAAUUUGUUCUAAUUAUUUGCUCCAUAUGUUCAUGAUAUGUAUAUAUGUAUCACUGUGAUGUGUCUUACGAUUUUGAAGUUAUGAACCACGAGGUUUACGUAUGGCUAUAAUUGAUUUCUACGAUUAAAGUGAAUUCUUCGAAAUCGGUAUUCAUCUAUAUAAAAUGUUAAAUUCUUUUAUGUCAAUUUGCAUAUAUGUGUGCAUAUUUCUGAUCGAAAGGGUGUAACAAUGAUAUGUCCUACUGCGAUUAAAGUUUACUCUUCUAUAUUGAUAAAUUUAUAGAUUAAACGAUGGUCGAGGAAGUGGGAAUUAAAUGGACUACGAGGGAUUUGAAGGUAGAAAUGUGCUUCAUUUAUGUAGCUAGUCACAUUUGAAGAAUUCCUAGUUCUUACUAGUUAUUUCAAUUUCUGAAAUAUUAUUGUACCUUUACCUUUUUAAAGACUUUUUAGAUCUUUCUCAGAGUGAAUAUUGUAAUUUUAUUGGGCCGACAUAUGCAGUUAAUUUAUGCCGCCAAAGGAGUUAAGACUAAAUCUUAGACUUGUGAAGAUUAAAAUUUCAUGAACUUUGUCUCAUCACCCUGGACAAAAAAUUUUGAGUUUUUGGAGGAGAUAGUAAGAUAGGAUUGCCCUAUGAGUCCUCUAUCCAUAGACUUUGGAUUUAAGUCAUUCGGAGGUCAGUUGGAAAGGUUAGCUAUUUCUCGUGCACUGAGACAAGUUUAUCUGAGAGUAGUUGGUAGCAUGAGUUUGAAUAGUUCUUUAGGAUUUUUAUUUCUCCUUGUUACUUUGCAUCCAUCAAUCAUCCACAUUAUCAACCUAGGUAUGCAAGUUUAUUAAACAAUUUUAUGGAAAUCCAAAGUUAUGGAUUCACGAAUUUUAUUGUUCAUUGUAAAAAAAUAACACACAUAUAUUCGACUGUAAUAACUAUGGGAAAUAGAUGGCCAGAAGGAACCAACCAGCUAGAAGAAGAAGAAACAAUUGUAUCAGUGCUCUAGAAAAGAAUGUUUAGGCAUAUUUGGAUUUUGAAUUUGAUGAUUCCUUAGACUUGGAGGAUCAUGUGAAAAUUGUUUAUGAGCGUAGAAUGGUUGCUAAGAAUGCGGGCUAUUAGAUUAGCAAUCGAUAAGCCAUUCGACAUUUCUCGGAUCCUAGCACUGCGCGAAGAGUGUAUUUGCAUGCUUUUGAUAAAGGAAUUAGAAUCGAUAAUUCCAAACCGGGAAUCAUCGUGACAUAGGAUAUUUUGAUUUUGCAAUACUCUAAUAGAGUAUUAAGAAACCUACCUCUAGAAAGUAAUCUCACAUUCUAGCUCAUAUUCAGGAAUGAUAGAGAAGAAGGUAGAGGAGGACUCAAAAGAGGACAAAGAGGUGGACCCUGAAGAUGACUAAGAGAAAGGUUGAGAAUGGGGUAUAGAAAGCUUAUAGAAAGGUAAAUAAUCGUUGCAUUUUUCUUCUCAGUUCAUAAGAAAAAUUACAUAUUUCAAUUGUUCUGGUUAAGUUUAAGUAAAUUCGAAUUUGAAUUAGUACAAUUUGUGUAGGAACAAUGCUUGGAUUCAAAAAUCCAUUUCACUACAUGUUAGCGCCAUGCAAUUGCGGUAUUUUAAAUGAAGACAUUUUUGUAAAGAGCGCUCUUAGCUACUUUGGAUUAUAGUGAUUUAAGUUAGCUUCAACUUGAUCUAUAGGUGAUUUUACACCUCCAAGUCCAGAAAUCUCCAAACUCACGGCAUCGCUUUUUUUUUUUCUAAUUUUUAAAUUUAAUUCUAUUUUAAAAAUAUAUAGCCCUGUUUGACCCACAUUUUUUCAAACAAAUAUAUUCUUAAACAAUAAUUUGACAUCAUUUCAAUCACACAUUUUUUAAUAAAAUAAUAUCAUAUGCAAACCAAAAGCAUUUCCUUAUUUUUUAACCAUACAUUUUCCAUCAAUACACUAUUCAAAAUUGUGUCCUUAUGAAAAUAAUGUAGUUCAAGCAGCGGCAUAAUAUUAAUAAAUAAACAAUUAACGAGGUGAUAAAUGAGAAUAUUUUAAUUGGAGGCCAGUCCCACUGUCUCCCUUUUCCCUUCGUAUCCCCUUCUUGUCCACUUUCCAAAGGAUUUUUGUACUUCUAUAGAAUAUCUUGCCCACCUUGUUUACGCAUGCAAUUUGGAUAGAAUGUGGUUGGCUGUCACUGUCAAAAUAUUCUUUCUUUUCUUUUCUUUUCUUUUCUUUUUUUUUUUUUUUUUUUUGGGUUGGGUUGGGGGGGGCUAAUGAAGCAUUCCAUCAAAGUGCGUCUCUAUGAUUUUUUUGUACACAUAGCAAACUUCCUUUCCAUUUAUUCCAAUGGCUUUGGAUAGCAAAGAGCCACCCAUUUGUCUCCCCUAAUUUGAGGUCCAUAUAAUGAUUCAAGUACAAAGCAUCCAAUGGAAAUUUGUUCAAAGAACAAAUUUUUGUGCUCUUUUUCCUAUUCAAAGAUCAACCCCUCACUUGUCCACAAAAUAAAAUGAAAAAAAAGAAAAAAUGGUGGAAGGGGUUUGAACUUCCGACUUCCAACGUAAAUAUGUGCACUAUUUAUUUCUUAUGUAUACUUCUAUCUGACAAUAGAAGUAUAGUAUGGAUGUCUUGCUCAAAGGCUUCUAAAAUAUUCGAUGAACUUUUCAACCAUUAGGAGAAAAAUGCAAUUUGUGAUCUUCAAAUACUGACUUGGAUAAUUCAUUUAUAAAUACGAUUAAUCUGGAAAGGUUCUCGAAUUGUGGUAGGAGAUGGAAACAUUGGAAAAUCUGCAUUUUGAAGCAGCAGCUGAAGGAAAUGUGAAUACUUUAAAGAAGCUGAUUCAAGAAGAUCCAAUAAUUCUUGAUAGAGUUAAGAGUAAGAAUCAGAUAGUAAUUAAAAAAAAAAAAAACCAAUUGUGGUCAAUCCACAACUUAUUUAUUGACAAAAGGGUGGACAAUGGAUAAAAUGUUUUAAAUUAAGUGAUGAUUUAGAAGAGAAAAUAUUUUGCGGAGAGGGAUGAAGCGCCUAAAAUAAAUUAGAAAGAGUGAGAAAAGAGUAUUGGCUAGGGAGAACUGGUAAAUGUAUUGUGUCAAAAUUUGACAUGAAUAAAAAUGAAAAAAAACUUUCCAAAAUUCUGUGAGAUUCAAUAUUUGGUUAUUUUUUUGAUAAUCUAAAUUAAAAUUGACUAUUUUCAUAAGACGUAAUUAUAUUUGUACCACGAGUUUUGUUAGCUGCAUUAUAUUUUAGUGCUUGACAUUUGCUCAUAUCUUGGUUUUUUUUCAAAAUUUUUUCACUAUAUUCAAGUAAUUAACCUUUCAUUAAUUAGCACAUCUUAUCACUCAUGAUAAUUUUCAUCUAACACAUACAUUGGAAGUCAUAAAACGACUUAUUUAUCCCUUAUAUAUAAGCCAAAAAAAAAAAAAGUAGUUUGAUAAAAAAAAUCUCUUACUUCAAAGCACGUUUACAUACUAUUAACAAAGUACAUAUUGACUAGGCGUCGAUGUACAUGAUCGACGUAGUACGUUGUCCAACUAGUAGUAAAAAGGACUUGGCAAUUUAAUUUUAAAAACUAUUCCAUACGGGAGUUCCUUGAUAUGUUUGGAAGCUUCUUACUGGAUGUGUAAGAACUGGGGUCUUAGGAUGUGUUCUAAAUUAACAAUCUCAUAAAUUCAUUAUAUUGAAAGAAAUACUUACUGGUCGAAAUUCAGGCUAGUGGAUAGGUGCGCUUAUUUUUUAUAACUAGGGGUUGGCCGUUCUUAUUUUUUUCUAAUCUCUUCCCACCUACUAUUUUGGUUCCAUAAUAUUGAAAGACUAACACAUGUCAAAGCGUGUCGGCACAUUUCAGUGUUCAAUGCAUGUCAGAACAGACACGUAGGCACCAAUAACAUAUUAGUGCGACUUAUUAUCCCAACUAAUUUUCAUCACUCAAAACGAGAAAAAAUUCUGACUUUUUAUGAUCUUUAAUUCUUUUUUUAUGAUCUUUAAUUCUUUCUCCGGGUUGGCCUAAUGUGUUCCCUUGUGCAUUAUCUUUUUCUUCGAAAGUACCAAAUCAUGUUUAACUUUCUCUCUUUCCUUCGUGUUCGUUCCCAACUGAAGCCUGAUUGGUCACUCUUUUUACUUCUUUCCCUUCCCUUCUUUACCUAAUGUCGCCCCUCAACUUAUGAAUAAUCAAACCAAUGGGAUUAGCUACUUGCCCACUAUUAUUGGCUAGGUUCCUCUUUUCCUUGCCCUGUGUUGAAUAUGUAAUACUAAAACUAGAGCCCUGAGAAAUUUCUUCUCUCUCUCUCUCUCUCUCUCUCUCUUUUAAUAAUUUAUCUCCUAACUUUGGCUAUUAAACAACUAUAAUUAAAGUUAUGGUUAUCCAUUUAAUCAACUCUCAUUUCUCCCCCAACAUAAAUUAAUCAUCUUUCUUUCUUUAUUCCCACUUACAUAAGCAUCUUAUUAAUUAAAUAAUUUUUGGACUCUUAGCUAUUUCGAAUUACAACAUUGAAGUCAACUCCAACUUAAUCUAGGAGUGACAAAAUACACCGCCAAGUCCUAAAAUCCCCGAACUCAACUAAAUUUAUUUUAUUUUUUAUUUUUAAAUUUAAUUUUCAUUUUAAAAAAUCAAUGUUAUUAAAAUAUAUAAAUAAAUAAAAGAGGUGAUGAAUGAGAAUAUUUUAGUCAACAUCCUGUAAAAAUUUGUCCAAAAGAAUAAUAUUUUAGGCUUCCAUAAAAUAUGGACACAGUCUAUUUCUUACGUAUAUUUCUGUACCAAUACUUGUUCGGAGUUUUCUAAAAUAUUUGAUGGACUUUUCGACCAUUAGAAGAAAAUUUCCAUUUUUAUUCUUUAGAUAUUGACUAACGGCAGUCUUCAUUGGAUAAUUCAUGUAUAAAUACGAUAGAUCUUGAAAGGUUCUCGAAUUGAGGUAGGAGAUGGAGACAUUGGAGAAUCUGCUUUUUGAAGCAGCAGCUGAAGGAAAUGUGAAUUCUUUGAAGAAGCUGCUUCAAGAAGAUCCAAUAAUUCUUGAUAGAGUCAAAGUUAAUAUUCACUCUGAUACUCCUUUGCACGUAGCAGCAAUUUUGGGACAUAUCGAUUUUGUGAAAGAAAUCUUAAGACGAAGACCUGAAUUUGCACGAGAAUUGAAUUUAUGUCAAUCAUCGCCACUCCAUUUGGCAUCCGCUAAAGGUUAUAUCGAGGUAGUUAGAGUGUUGUUAUCAGCUAAUCAUCUAAUGUCCCUAGCUCGAGAUAGAAAUGGGCUGACGCCUCUGUAAAUGUUAUACCCUAGAUUCAAUCGAUUUAGGUUGUAAACGCUUUUAAUAUAUUUAAUGCAUUUGAUUUUGGCGAGAUCUAUUAUUUAGUUAAAUUAAUUUUGUAAUAAAUAAUAUUAAAUAAUAGAAUUCGAAGAUCCAAUUUUUAGAUAAUCUGUUAAUCACAAGGAAUUGUGAUUGUGAGAUACAAAUUACAUAUAACUGGAUCUUGAAUAAACCAUGGUCGUAAGUAAUAACGAGAUACGGAUAUUGUUAAUACAGUUAGACCAUCACGUGUGGCAUUUCUUACUUGUGAAGUAAGUAGCUGAUCUCACGAGCUAAAGUGUGGUGACACUUAAAUGAACACGUGGAUGUUUUGUUAUAGAACAAAACAUGGAGACCUGCUAAGAGAUUUCACAUGGAUAACUAUCUGAGUGUCAGUGGCUAAUCUCUAACGUUCGGUAGUGGAAUUGGUCCUUUGACUUGAGGUCGUCAUGGUACCUUAUAUGAGGACAGUCAUACUUUGGUGGUGUUGGAUGUUGCUCUGAAAGGGGCCGCUAAUACGAUAUCGUUCGGGUACGUCAAGAAUCGUAUGAAGGUUGUGAUUGAUUAGUAAAGGAUUCUUCACUCUUAGAUAGUAGGAGAUUAUGAUCUGCGUUUCAUUCAAUUAAGUCGAUGAUGAAAUCCUUGGCCAAGGUGUACUCAUAAGUCGAAAAGGAGUUUUCGAUUUAUAUUGACUUAAUAGUGGAGUGAAAGAUAUGAUCAAUGAUCGAGAUUGACACAAGUCCAUAUCUCGUAAUUGAUCGGAUCGUAUUGACGAACGGAUAAUGGUUUCACGAUAAACGAACGAAUUUGAUUUUGUCAUACCACGUGACAUUUCCCGUCACAUGUAUUGCCCUGACACAUUGCUAGAUGUCAAUCAGGGACGGCGAGUGUGAAUUGACGGAAAAUUAAAAGGGUGUAUUAAUUUAUCAAUUUUGAUUAGAUCAAAAUAAUAUUUCACGACGUUAGGCAUCGUGGUUGGGAACCUAAUGGGUCGCACACAAAAGAGAAUUAGAAGAUUGCAAAUUGCCAAUUGGUUAAUUUAACAAUCGUUGGAUAAAUUAAUUAAUUGAAUUUGUUAUUUAUAUUCCCGAAUUAAUUAAUUGGAUUAAUUAAUUCACGGACCGGAUUUAAUUAAUUGGAUUAAUUAAAUAUUGGACCGGACCGGACCGGACCGGGUCCGUUUGGGUUUAUAUAUAUACAUAGUUAGGGUUUGAGGUCCAUAAGAUUUUCAUUAUUCUUGCUGGCACAAGAGAAAAACUCUAGCAGUUGCAAUCUAUUCUUUGUGUGGAUUUCAUUGGAGGCUGGACAAUUGGACAGCUGUGGGAGACAGAUUCAAGCUGCUGGAAAGGAAUAACGCGAAGGAGUUUGCAAAUUACAAAAAAAGGUAUAUUUCUUAUCACAGUUUUUAUCUAAAUACAAAGCUGAAUCCUGAACGGAAAUUGAAAUUUGUUAAAUUUCGCUGUGCAUGUUUAAGUAAAUUUCCAACAGUGGUAUCAGAGCCAACUUUGUAUUUGUUAGGAACUGUUUAACGUGUUGAUUAAAUUAAAUGUUAGUUUAAUCACGUUCAUUCCUAAAUUUAGCAAAUAUAGUUUUAAUUUUUUGUCUUUUUGGAUCUGUUCUUGAAAAACAAAAAAAAAUAUUUUUUUGGGGUCGAAAGGCCGGCGGAGCCGCCGCGCGGCACGACAGGCAGUGCUGCGCGCGCGGUCGACAGGCGCAGCAGCGCCUCCGCGCUGCUGGUGGAGACGGGGGCCUCUGUUGCAAAUAAUAUAAUUAGGGGCCCCUGGUUGCAAUUACAAAAAUGGGAUCAAUUUACAAUUUUAAAAUCAGGGACCUGUUCUGUAAAUUUUGAUUUUGGAAGGGUCUGUUGUUAAUUUCCAAUUUGGGUAAAAUUUGUAAAAUUUCAAAAAGGUUUUGAUUUUGAAUUUUGAAUUGUUUUAAAAAUGGUUUUAAAUUGGGUUUGACCCAUACCUUAAUUUUGACUCAGAAUUAAAAAUUUAUUUAAAAAUUUGACGACUUUUAUAUUUUUGUUAAAAUUAGAUUUUAACUUAAAUAUUUAGUUUGACCCUUAAUUGAAUUUUAUUUUGUUAGGGAAUUUUGUCCUAAAUUAAAAUAUUAAUUCAAUUUUAUUAGAGUUAGACUCUAAUAUUAUAUUAAUUAAAAUUUGUUUUGAAUUAGCACCACUUCCCUAUGCAAAUUAGUACUUAGAGUAUGACUCUAAUUUAAUAAUUAAUUAAAAUUCGAUUUUGAUUAAAUUACUUCGCCCAAUAGUUAUGGAGUUAGAGUUGGACUCUAAUUCGGGAUUUAGUUAAAAUUUGAUUUAAAUAGGCCCGCCAAUUAAAUUAAUUAAUUAAUAUGAUUAAUUAAUUGUUUAAUUAUCUCGAUCCCAAAAUUUUGAUUUAAUUUUGACGACUGUAAUUGCUAGAUUUAUGAGACAUUGCAUAUAAUAUUAGAUAUUAUACAUAGGAAACAUUUAUGUGAUGAAUGUUUGUGAAUAAUUAUGGACUCGACCAUAUGGAUGUGUUGAAUGGUUGAUUUACUUCUUAUUGUUGUUGUGGGCCUGCGAGCUCCUUAUUAAAUAUUGGACCUGCGAGUCCGUUAUUGUUGUUAUUAUUAUGGGCCUGCGAGUCCGAUUUCUUUUAGGCCUGCGUGCCAACUAAUAUAAAAUACAUGUUGCAAGUUCGGCUAAUUGGAGGCGCAAGAAGAGGUGGACACCAUGGAGAUGGUGUAUUGGUAUUGGUCCAAUACUACACUCCCUUAGGAAUCGACCAACUAGUUUUCCUUUUGGCUCGGGAAAACUAGAUAGAACAAAUCCAUAAUCAUCCAUACUAUUACUUAUAUAUGUAUUUAUUCGCAUAGUAGAUGUAUGUUUAAAUAUAUGUAUAUAUAUAUAAUUACUUGAUGAGGCCAUUGUAUAUUAAAUCCCUCGUUAAAAAUAUUAAGUUAACAUUAUUUGCCUUCCAUCAUUAUAGUGAAAAACGAGAAUCCUAAAUCGACCUUAGCUUGUUGAGUACACUCAAGGCGGGUCUAUUAGGGAUAUGUUUGACACUAUGAAAUAUUUGAUAUUUCUGAAUGAUGGGUUUGACUUAACUUAAAUUUAUUUUUUGUUGAGUACACUCAAGGAGAUAAGUUUUAGAAGCAUGUUAAGCUAACACAUAAGAUGUGUGAAGACAAAAGAGUUGUCAGCUUAAUGAUCUGGGAGUUGUAUGGAGAUACAAUUGAUAAUAAUAUCUACCCAAAUGUUUUAUUGGGAUUUGUUGAGUACACUCAAGAUCUCGAUACAACAAAUGGGAUCCAAGCCCACUGUGAAUCAAGAGUGGAUUCAAAUAAUUUAUGUAUGAGGGUCAUGAAUUUAUUUUAAACAGUUGGAGCACGUUUAAUUAAAGUCCAUAUUGAAGUUAUGCACAUGCAUUAUAAUAUAUAUUAAUUCUGUGUUUUUUUCGUCAUUCACAGUUUUUAAAUCAUGAGUAAUCAUAUGAAUUUGAGAGGCAUACUGGAUGCCAACAAACUGACAGGACCAAAUUUUCUCGAUUGGCACCGCAAUUUGAGAAUCGUUCUCAAGCAUGAGAAAAUUGGAUAUGUCCUUGAGCAGUCCUUUCCAGUGGUGCCUACUAAAAAUUCCACUCAGGAAGAGGUGGCUGCUUACAACAAACACAGUGAUGAUGAUAAUACUGCAGCAUGUGUGAUGCUUGCAGCUAUGUCUCCUGAGUUGCAGAAGCAACAUGAGGGUAUGGAUGCUUACACUAUGAUUUUUCAUCUCAAGGAGUUGUAUGAUGAACAAUCUCGUGUGGAGAGGUACGAGACCUCUAAACAACUAUACCGGUGCAAAAUGGCAGAGGGAUCAUUAGUCAGUACUCACGUGUUGAAGAUGAUUGGUUUUAUUGAAAAACUGAGUUCACUGGGUUUUUUUAUCAUGGAUCACGAAUUAAGUAGUGACUUGGUUCUACAAUCUCUGCUAGAUAGUUAUUCACAGUUCAUUAUGAAUUUUAACAUGAAUAAGAUCGAAUGCACACUCCCUGAGUUGCUUAAUAUGCUUAAAACUGUGGAGCCCAAUGUCAACGCUAGCACUGGGCAUGUCUUAGCUAUUCAUUCCUCCAAGGGAACUAAGAGGAAAAUCAAAGGAAGUUUUAAGAAAACAUCUAAAAAGGCUAAGGGCAAUAACAAAGCAGUCAAAGCAGGCAAGGACAAUACCAAAUCUGAUGACCCAUGUUAUCACUGUGGAGUGAAAGGUCAUUGGAAGAGGAACUGCAAGGCUUACCUCGCAAGCUUGAAGGGAAAGAAGUCUUCUGAAGCUUCUACUUCAGGUACUUUUGUUAUCGAGGUUAAUAUGUCUACUUCAUUAGCUUCUUGGGUAUUAGAUACCGGAUGUGGAUCUCAUAUUUGUAUAAAUAUGCAGGGACUAAAGAGAAGUAGANNNNNNNNNNNNNNNNNNNNNNNNNNNNNNNNNNNNNNNNNNNNNNNNNNNNNNNNNNNNNNNNNNNNNNNNNNNNNNNNNNNNNNNNNNNNNNNNNNNNNNNNNNNNNNNNNNNNNNNNNNNNNNNNNNNNNNNNNNNNNNNNNNNNNNNNNNNNNNNNNNNNNNNNNNNNNNNNNNNNNNNNNNNNNNNNNNNNNNNNNNNNNNNNNNNNNNNNNNNNNNNNNNNNNNNNNNNNNNNNNNNNNNNNNNNNNNNNNNNNNNNNNNNNNNNNNNNNNNNNNNNNNNNNNNNNNNNNNNNNNNNNNNNNNNNNNNNNNNNNNNNNNNNNNNNNNNNNNNNNNNNNNNNNNNNNNNNNNNNNNNNNNNNNNNNNNNNNNNNNNNNNNNNNNNNNNNNNNNNNNNNNNNNNNNNNNNNNNNNNNNNNNNNNNNNNNNNNNNNNNNNNNNNNNNNNNNNNNNNNNNNNNNNNNNNNNNNNNNNNNNNNNNNNNNNNNNNNNNNNNNNNNNNNNNNNNNNNNNNNNNNNNNNNNNNNNNNNNNNNNNNNNNNNNNNNNNNNNNNNNNNNNNNNNNNNNNNNNNNNNNNNNNNNNNNNNNNNNNNNNNNNNNNNNNNNNNNNNNNNNNNNNNNNNNNNNNNNNNNNNNNNNNNNNNNNNNNNNNNNNNNNNNNNNNNNNNNNNNNNNNNNNNNNNNNNNNNNNNNNNNNNNNNNNNNNNNNNNNNNNNNNNNNNNNNNNNNNNNNNNNNNNNNNNNNNNNNNNNNNNNNNNNNNNNNNNNNNNNNNNNNNNNNNNNNNNNNNNNNNNNNNNNNNNNNNNNNNNNNNNNNNNNNNNNNNNNNNNNNNNNNNNNNNNNNNNNNNNNNNNNNNNNNNNNNNNNNNNNNNNNNNNNNNNNNNNNNNNNNNNNNNNNNNNNNNNNNNNNNNNNNNNNNNNNNNNNNNNNNNNNNNNNNNNNNNNNNNNNNNNNNNNNNNNNNNNNNNNNNNNNNNNNNNNNNNNNNNNNNNNNNNNNNNNNNNNNNNNNNNNNNNNNNNNNNNNNNNNNNNNNNNNNNNNNNNNNNNNNNNNNNNNNNNNNNNNNNNNNNNNNNNNNNNNNNNNNNNNNNNNNNNNNNNNNNNNNNNNNNNNNNNNNNNNNNNNNNNNNNNNNNNNNNNNNNNNNNNNNNNNNNNNNNNNNNNNNNNNNNNNNNNNNNNNNNNNNNNNNNNNNNNNNNNNNNNNNNNNNNNNNNNNNNNNNNNNNNNNNNNNNNNNNNNNNNNNNNNNNNNNNNNNNNNNNNNNNNNNNNNNNNNNNNNNNNNNNNNNNNNNNNNNNNNNNNNNNNNNNNNNNNNNNNNNNNNNNNNNNNNNNNNNNNNNNNNNNNNNNNNNNNNNNNNNNNNNNNNNNNNNNNNNNNNNNNNNNNNNNNNNNNNNNNNNNNNNNNNNNNNNNNNNNNNNNNNNNNNNNNNNNNNNNNNNNNNNNNNNNNNNNNNNNNNNNNNNNNNNNNNNNNNNNNNNNNNNNNNNNNNNNNNNNNNNNNNNNNNNNNNNNNNNNNNNNNNNNNNNNNNNNNNNNNNNNNNNNNNNNNNNNNNNNNNNNNNGACAGGGCAUGAACAUAUUGUCAUGUUGUUGUAUGAGUGUAUGUACGAUUUUGGAUGUAUUAUGUUGCAUUACAUGAUUGAUUGUGUUCCUAUUCUUGCAUCACAUUUAUAGUAUGAAAUGUAACUUUACAUGUCGACAAUUGUGAAUCCUUAUUUUCGAAUUACACAAACUUCUGAGUACUCUUCAAAUAUGAAAUUUUGUAGAAUGGUAGGUUGACUAGGGAUGAAGUUUGGUUUAACCCUUCUUUGGUUUUGUAAACUUUGUUUAUUUUGUAAAACAAUACUUUGAUUGGUGGUUGAUUGUGGGUUGAAUUCUGUUUUAUUCAUUAUAGAACCCAAUUACCAAAUAUUAUCAGAAUACUUGUAGUGGAACUUUAUUGGAUGCCAUUGGUAUUAUUAUUAAGAUAUGUAUAACCUGAUCAUUAUCUUGAAAUUUACUCUGACAUGUAACUCAUCAAUUUCGAUAGUCGUAGAAUAAACUUUAGAGAUGAACUAUCGUUCUUGAUAGUUACUUGCUAGAAUUCUCAAAGUUCAAUUACAAAUUUGAAGUGAAUUGUCAUAUGAAAAAUUUGUUGUCCUAAAUCCUAUUUGCACGUUAUGUACUACAUACACGAUUUGCUUUCGUUGGUGUGCAAUUCUAUUUAACACGUUUACUUCAAGUUUUAUGUAAAUAAUGAUGAUCUGUCUGUUGUUCGCAUCUCUCACCCUUGUUUGAUGUGAAUCAGGUUUUUAGGAGAUCAAUUAUUGACGUCGUGAUUUAAAUUUCGAGUUCUUAUCAUCAUCUGGAGAACAUGAACAACCAUCCCUUAUUUUGAAAAGCUCCUAUUUCGAUCUACCAGGCGAGGAUGAGACGAUCUACUAGGCGAGGAUGAGACUUUCUUCCAUUUUUACAAGGGUUAGACACAUUCGGUGAAUAACCAUUUCAACUAGGUUUGAACCUAGGCUUCUUAUGGUCAACUAUGCACAAAUAAGCACGUGAAUUUCACGUUUUGUAGCAUGCACGUGUGCGUUCAUAUGAUAGUACAAGGUUGUUCGGAUAUGUCCAAGUGUGGGUAAUUCCAUUUUCAUUCUACAAAAUGUCUUUGCAUUCGUGUGUAUACUUAUCGCUGAGUCAUUCAUGUAAUAAGGUCAUGUUUGAAGUCAUUUAUAUAUACAAUCAUCAUGAGUUCAAUAACCCAACCCUUUAUGCUUGGGAACCUUUUUUUAGUGGAUUUGUAUUAAAUGCAUCUCCAUGGACAUUCUUUAUUUGGAAAAUUUGUCAUAUGUUGGUGUAUAGUGUGAAUUAGUCCCCUAACACACUUGGCAUAUAUUCAAUAAAAUUGUAGACAAAAUCUUUAAUAAAAUUAAUUGCAUAGUUUAGAGAUGUAACAUGGCAUAAUUUCAAUUUGUCCAUUUUUUAAGAUUUCAUUGUUAGACUUUUGCUUUCGAACGACCGUAGGUUACAUAAGCUAUGAACUUCAACUUGCCUGUUUGUUCCUCUCUUAGGGUAUUCCAAUCGGACUACACUUGGCACUAGCUAUUGCUUCAUACAUCAUCGCGAUGGUACUUUUUCCCAAUAUCGAAUUAAAGUGUUUUGUUGUGUUGAUGUCGUGGUUUUUUUUUUUACAUGUUCCUGUUCCAACAUGUUGUCAAUUUUGAAUUAUAUCAUAACAUAUAACUGGACUCCUAAGGUUUUGAUUCCUUAUAUGCAUGGUUUCUACUAUGAAAGGUCCAUGUCAUUUCUGUAUUGACAGAAAUCACAAAUAACAUUCCACUUUCCUUGGGUUUUGACAACAGAAAAUAUUAUUUAUGUUCACUCUCUUUUCUCUGUUUAGGUGUAUGCAUGCAUACAAUCUUUCAUUUGAUAACACUCUGCUUUCAAUGGGAACUUAUUUUGAGAUACAAAAAGUUGGGAACUUCUUAGGGCAAAACUCUACACAUGCAUUAGCUUUCUUCACACACGUCGCGUUGAUGACUGAUGAGCAUACCACUGUAUGUCACGUGGGUGACUCAUGUAAUCAAUGCUUGUUUCGAAUGGUGUUAAACAACAAUUGCAAUAUCAUACCCUGCAUUCCAUUGCAUAGAAAUGGUGUUGUAGAUGUCAAACUUCUAUGUCUCAUGUGUUCAUUUCAGCAGAUUGCUGUAGUGUGCAGGCUACUUAACAGAUGACUGAUUGUGAAGAAUAUGUCGAGAUUAAAUGUCAGUAUCGAUAGAUGAACUAAUCAUACCGACGGUUGAUGUCAGUUUUUCUCGAUAUUUCACCUCACUACAAGCAUGAGUUCGAUUCAUUAUGUUUUACAUUUUUAUGUUUCAUCAUGAUCUAAUCCGUAUUUUUCUUGUUGUACCUUGUGGGAGAAGUGAAGUUUGAAUUCCUCUUUCUAGAAAAUGCCUGUUGCGGGUCACAUUUUGCAACGGAGCAACUUGAAGUAUGUAAAGACAAUCAUGGAGACCUUUGAUAAUCGACAACGAAAGGACUUUCCAAACUCCUGCCUCGACUUCCUGGUUGAGGUGCUUGAUAUACAGUUUUUUGCCCAGCUCAUCCAACAGUUGGUAUUCAGAUCCAUCCGAACUGAAAAGACAAAUGAGUUGUGGUUCAACGUUUAGGGGCACAUGAUGAGGUUUGGUCUACAAUAGUACAUGCUGGUAAUGGGUUUAACAUGUGGUCUCUUUCUAGAGGGUGAUCACUUUACUUGAGUACUGGAGAGGAAGAGAUUGAAUGAGAGAUACUUCAAAUCAGUGAACAAAAUUCAUAAUACAUUGUCUUGUACUUCAGUAUUCGACUUUGUAUUUCUACCUUCUUUGAGCUAAUUCAUGUCAUAACGUUGAGCAGCCGUUGCAGAAAUAUGAGCUACUUCAGAUGAGAAGUGGUGGCCUUGAAUAUAUAGAAGGGUGGGUGGGCAAAAGCACAACAUUGCACUGUUGAAGGAAGCAAACUGUUACAAAAUGUAAAACGGAUAAAUUGCGGGCCUAUAUACUAUCAUGGGCAGCGCAAGGAUGAACCUUUAUAUUUUCCAUUACUGUGUAAUAUUUUCGUCUGUUGAUGAAUUUGAUGUGACGUUGUUUCUUUGAAAUUGAGCAAAUUAUCGUUAAAGCAUUUAUCAAAACUCCAUUAUGAGAUGUCCGAUAGUUGGAUACUAUUUGAAAAAAUUAAACCUUGGCACCCGCCAAACAUGUUGGCAAUAUUAUCCAUGUGCUUGAAGUAGGUCUACUAUUUCUUCAUUUGAAUGUUGAAGGCGAUAAUUGAAGAUCAGCUGUGUGGGGUCAGUUAAUGGCUGAUGUAUGGAUUUUGUAGUACAUUAUUUAUUUUGAAGUGAAGGCAUUACCGUCUCACUAGUAAUUUAAGUUGCCAGUGGUGAUCGUAAUUUCUUAUUUGCGGAUCAAUGAGAAAGUCGUUCAUAUUUUAUGAUUGGGAUAAGAUGAUGAGUCAUUUAAAUAAUAUGCCAAAGCCAUGACAACAAAAAGAUUAAUUCACAAAUGAGUUAAUGUGAGUUGCAGGAAAAUUGAAGAAUCCAUUGUACACAUGAUUUAAGAAUUACAAUAUCCUAGUAUUAAUGGAGAAAUGAAGGAUAAAGAUACACUUAUACAUGUGAACCAUCACACCAAAUGCUUUUCAAAUUUAGAUGAGAUUAGACUUGCUGGUUAGGUAGUAAUGACAAUAAUUGCUUCCGCCCUUCAAAUUGAUUACAAAUAGCAUGAGUUCAUUAUUAGUUAUAAAGAAUCACUUCAAGAGCAUUGUGAGAAUUUCAACUCUCACAUACACAAACAAUUUCAGCAAUUUCAUUGCAUCGACAUAAUGAGUUUGUCCAUGGGAAGCAACGAACCAUCCAACCUGAACGAGCCUUUGCUAGUUCCCAGUUCCUCCCCAUUCUUUCCAAUCUACAUUUCGUCAGACGAUGAGAAAAUUAACCUUCGCACUGGUAGGAAAACCAUUUUUCGUUGUUUCUUUUCUCAACUUGGAUGAAAUUGCAAAUGAAAGGGCGCAGUCACCGAAAGAUGUGCUCGAUGGGGUGUUCGAGGUCAUGGCUCGGUAUGAAGAUGAAUGAGAUGACGAAGACUGGUUGGCAUACAUUCCACAAAAUGAGGUAAUUGUUAUCACGUCGGAUAAGUUAGAUGAAGAAAGUGGGGAAGAAGGUUCUACUAUUGACGUUGAAUGACGUGGACACAAAUAAAACGUAUUGUAAUAAGUUAAGUUAUUUAUAGUAUUUUUUGUAGGGAUGAAUUUGGUAAUGUCUGUACUAAAAGUUCAGCUUGAGCAUUUCCUUUAUGUCCCUUACGUGUAGUGUAGUUUUUGUACUCCAAUCAAAGUGUCGAGAAUGACGGAGACAAUCUGUCAAGAAUGAUAGAUGAACUGUCGAGAUGUCAAGCAAUAUGCUAUCUAUGGAUUUGUAUUUUGCUAAUGAAGUAAUUAAUGUGUUUGCCAGUUUGUGAACGAUAAUGGAAUGAUAAUGACAAUGUAAGUUGAAGAUAAUAAUGUUGAAAAUACCGAAAGUUGAAAAUAACGUUAUGACAUGUGGGUAUGCUUAAGUGAAAAAUUCAGUUUAUAAGCAUGAUAAGUAAUGAAGAUAAGGAAAAAGAACCAUCUUCACUGAUAUUUAGAAAAAUUUCCAAAAGCAGUCAAACGGUUAAAUUGUUCUAAGUAAUUCAUUCCAAUUUUGCUAAUUGUCCUUCUCCUAUUCUCCGUGGUCAUACUAUUUAACAUUAGGGAUGUUUAUGAUUUAUGUGUCAAUUUAGGCCACUGUGCUCCCAAUUUAUUUCGUGGAGAUGAAAAUUAGAAUUUUUAGUAGACUGUGAUAGAAGGUGCUGAUUUGUAUGGCUGAAUUAAUUUGAACAACCAUAGAGUUGGAGUACCUUUUGUACAUUUUUAAAGAAUCAGCAAUUUAACUCGUUUGUUAUCCUUACACUUUGUUAAGAAAUUAAUAAUUGACAUUUUCUCUUAUCUAUAUUACGUACAUCCACCUUUGCUUUGCAAUCAUCUGUCGAGAAUGAAAAGAACAUUUGCCGGGAUGUUGUGCAGGUUCUCAACAUUGGUUUAUGUUCAUUUUAUGCCAACAUAAGGAGCAAUAACAUCCACAAAUGAUAAUGAAAACAAAAUGAUUAUGUAACUUGAUAUUCUACAACGCAGUAGGGAAACCUUGAACAUACCACGCACAUUACGACACUACGAAAUAUUAGAUAUUCGACAAGAACAGAUGUAUUCACAGUUGUAAUCCAGUCGUAUCUGUCUGAAGACAUGGAAGGAGAUGACAUUUGAUUGUCAAUUUCAACAAUAUCAGCAACCUCUAUAUCGUGUAAUGGGCUGUCUAAGUUCUCAUUUAAUUAUUCAACCUUGACAUUAUCAAUUGGAGGUUCGGGUGCAUUGUUGUUUCGCACACUAUGCUGAUGAUUGCAAACAAAUUCGUUACCGAAUUUGCAUCCAUUCCCAUGUCGACACUCGAGAGCUCGAUUUCCAAAAUACUAAUGCAGAGUACAGUUCCCUUAUGAACAGAUAUGUACCAAUUUAAUUCAUCUUUGCGUAUUUCUGUCGGUGGUAUAUUCAAGUUCGGGACUACUUCAAUGCGGGGUUGAACAAUACCAAGUUUGUCCUUCAACCAAAACACAAGUUCGGCUACUACAAUACUUCUUGGUGAUAAAAUGGAAGUAGUUUUGUCCCCUUUCCACUUCCAUUCGCCAUCCAUGUGAACAAACUUUCCCCCAUGUAAUACGAUGAAUCUCAAAUGAUCACUAAUACUUGAAAUGUUGGGAUUCCAAAGGUAAGAAUUCUACACAUUCGGUAUGUCGACAUUUAAUACCAUAAAAUUUGAGCUUUUAAAUAUUUAGAUCCAUGUAAUAGCAGAAAGGAAAAUAAAGGGUUUAACAGUUUUCAAGUGUCAAAGUCGACAGUUAAGUUUUCUAUCCCGACAGUUAGUAAAUGUCGAGUUCGACAGUUUAGAUGUCUAACCCGACGAUUUUGAUGACACUAUUCGACAGUUGAAGUACCAUAAAUUUUAGGGCAGCUUGAAAACCAUGUAUUUGGUUCUUUGUAAGAAAUUAUUGAAGACAUUAAUGGUGAUCAUUUUCUUGCUUCUAUUCUUCACAAAUAAGCAUUCAAUACUUACUACACACUUGGAAGUAAAAGGUUGCGAAAAUACAUAGAUAGACCAUACUCCAAUGUAGAGAAGUAUGUAUAACAUGGGUGUAUAAAGAAAAGGCUAUACAUGUAUGUAUGGCUCAACAUGGCUACUAGGGGUUGUAAUUAUUGGAAAAGAAGGCUUAAAAGGCUUAUAUGUUAAUCCUAAAUUGACCUUCAUCAUUUCUUAAGUAACUUACCAUCUUACCAAAAACCAUAUAUGCUUAUUACUAUUUUAGUGUAAGGUGGCUCUCGAUCCUCACUAACUCUCAUAAAAAAACUUUAGCAAGAAACUAUUCUAGCUACAUUUGUUAAACUACUAUCUUAUCACAAGGCUUGUGUGUGCAAAAACAUUCAGCAAAUGUCUCAACAUCCAAACUUUCAUAAACAAUAUUAAUUCCUAAUGGCAUCUAUUGUCAUUAAAGAAUAUGUAGCGAAUUAGGGACUUAAAAAAAAUAGAGCAAGAUUCCAUGUAAAUCAUGAAAUUCACAACAAAAUUUAAGUUAAACACUCCCCCCCCCCCCACUAAACAUUGCAUUGUCCUCAAUGCAAAAACAUGUCUGCCAAAUAAAGGUAAGGAAAGAUGUCACUUGAGUGCCGAAGUGAAUCACGUGAGCUGAAGUAUAAAAAUUCUGAAAGUUUUCAUUGGAAAGGGUGAUACAAAAAAUGAAAAUAAAAGAAAUACAAUGAAUAAUGUAUGGACUAAAACUAGAGAGAAUACAUAAAUGAAAAUAAAAAGAAAGAGAAGGGAACGAAGUCCCCAUGGGUUGCCUCCCAAGUAGCACCUUUGUUUAUUGUCAUUGGCUCGAUCCAAUAUUGUCUUCUUCAGCCUGCAUCCAGCCAGGGCGUUGUCAACCUUCAGCACGUUGCACCAAACUCAUUGGAAGUAGUCACUGGUGGUGUCCCAUAAUCUUGAAAAUCAUUAAAAGCAGCAUAAAUAUCAGCAUAUUCCCCAUUAUCAUACCUUGCGGGAAUUCCAGAAUUUAAAAAGAAAGAAUUUAAAGGGUCCGGAUCAAUAAGCUCAUGUGCUUCCUUCUCAAUGAGUGCAUCAAUCAUGUACGUUUGAUGACACUUAUCAUCUUCCUCAGGCUGUUUCAUGACAUGAAAGAUGUUCACAUCUAAGGUCAUGUUCCCAAAAGAUAGCUUCAUCAAACUAUUCCUGCAAUUAAUAAGAGCCUUAGCUAUAGUGAUAAAAGGUCUACCAAGAAUAAUGAGAAUCUUGGAGUUAACAUUCACAUCCAAGACCAAAAACACUACAGGGUAGCAAAAUUUGUCAAUCUGUACUAGCAAAUCCUCAACUACCCCCUUAGGUCUAAUAGUGGACCGAUCAGUCAAUUGUAGGACCACUGUAGUAGGUUUGAUCUCACCUAAACCUAACAACAAGUAUAUAGCAUAAGGCAUGAUAUUGACAGUAGCCCUUAAGUCAAGGAGAGCUUGUGCAAUCUCAUGGUUUUCUAUGACACAAGAAACAGUAGGACAACUAGGGUCCUUAUACUUUGGCGGGACGUUUUGUUCAAUUACGACACUCACAUGUUUAGCCAAGAAGGUAGUUUUUUUGACAUGGUACUUCCUUUUUACAGUACACAAAUCCUUAAGGACUUUAACAUAUGUGGCGACCUGGGAAAUCACUUGCAAGAGCGGUAAAUUGACUUUUACUUGCUUGAGGUGCUCUAGGAUUUCAUUGUGUUGACUAGUAGAUUUCGAGGUCGACUUGAGGGCUUGAAGAAAGGACACUCUAGAUGGAUUUUUCACUACCUCCUCACUAGGGGGUUCUCUCUUCUAUGCUACUAGGAUCCUUUUCACUUUCCCUAAGUUUAGGGAUUAGUUCUAUGACUUUUCCAGAUCUAGUGGUUAUGGCAUUCACUUGCUUCAAGUUGGUCUAUCAUAAUCCUUAAGUUUGUGCCAUGUGUUACCCCCUAGGGUUUGGUUGGACUUGUGCUGGGAAUUUUCCACGCUCUCCUACAACUAAGGCACUAGUUAGUUUGGACAAUUCUAUGAGAUUUUAUUUUCUUGUUUUCUUCAAUAAUUUGGGUAAUCAUAGUCUAAAAACUUUUGGUUAGUCUUAGUAUGUGCCUCUAUAAAUGCAUAUAGUGUGUCUUCUAAAGAGUUUCUAGGGGAUGUGGGCUAAUAUGGAGAUGUAAUGUGAGAGUUAUUUGGUUGGCUUUCAGAUUUUUAGCUAAGAUCCGGGUGAUUUCGCCACCCCAGAUUGUAUGUUUCAGAAAAGGGAAAUAAGGCUUUUAGUAUGUGCCUAAAGCAUUGCAGUGUUCCUCAUAAACUCUCUUCAUCUCAGAGUAGGUAGCGCACUCUUAAGUUGGAUGAUCAGUUCUAGGACAAACAAAACACGGUCCUAAAGAUUUAAUAUGGGAUGCAUUCUGUGUAGGCUUUGAGUCCUUAAAACAUAAGAUUUUGAGUUCUUUAGUAAGGGCAUCUAUCUUGGUUCUAAGGUCAUCCUCCUCUCUAAGAUGAUAAAUACCUGUGCUAGUGGUGUUUCUGAUAGGUCCUGACCUAUUAGUGCUCUCAGUGGCACUAGGUCUAGUCCAGGUAAGAGCCUUUUCAGCUAAGUCAUCUAGGUAAUCUAUGGCCUCAUCCGAAUCUUUUUACAAAAAUUCCCUAUUACACAUCAUUUCAACAAAUCGACGCUCCCUCGGUAAUAAUCCCUCAUAGAAAUAACUCACAAUGCGCCAACUUUCAUAACCAUGGUAGGAGCAGAGAGCUUGCAAUUCUUUAUACCUUUCCCAUGCUUGAUAUAAAGUUUCACUCUCCUUUUGAGAAAAAGAAGAUAUUUUAUUUUUCAAUGCGGUUGUUUUGUGGUUACCAAAAAAUGCUUGAGUCAUUUUAGCCCAAGUCCUAGUCAAGCGUGGUCUCAAUGAAUAUAGCUAGCUUUUUUCUCUUUUUUAAGAGAGAGUGGGAAAAAUUUAAGCCUCGCUGCAUCUAUUGUACCUCGUUGAUUGUGAAAAGUCACAAAAUCUCCUCAAAUUCCCUAAUAUGCACGUAUGAGUUUUCAUUUUCAAGACCGUGAAAGGUGGGAAGAAGUUGGAUCAUUCCCAGUUUAAGGUCCAUAUAUUGCAUAUUAGGUGGAAAUAUGAUGCAUGACGGUGUAGAUGUGCGCGUGGGAUGGAGAUAAUCGUGCAAAGUUCUAGUUGGUACCUCUUUAUGUUCAUUGUCAGUCAUGGUGUUAUAUGAUAUAAUGUGUGUGCCAACAGAUUCAGUAUCAAAAAGAGGGUUAGAAAGUGAUUCAAACCCUAGUUGAGGUCUUGCAAUGAAUUUCCCUCGCUCGUCUCGAUACCUGCUCAUAAAGCACAAAAAUGCAAAAAUAUGAGAAAUAAAAAAUACAAUCAAAAAUAAACAACAAACCAAAAACCUAAAAGAGGAAGGAAGUCACCCUUUUGCACGAAAAUUCUUUAAUUAUUUGUACUAUCUCCUCGGUAACGAUGCCAAAAUUUGAUUAUGCCCAAAGUGUAAUGCGGUGAUUGUAGUAUAGCUUUGGAGUGUCGUAUCCAAAGGGAGAUGGGAAAUUAAUUAACGGGUCCAACAAACUAGGAUUUUCAUUGUGAGCUGUAUAACUGAUAACAUAUCAAUUUGUAAUGUGUUCAAAUGUUAAUAUGUGAAUUUACGGGAUUUGAAUCAAAGUAUGAAAUAGUGAAGCGCUGGAAUUCCCUCGAUUGGUUCGAAUCAUUCAACAUCAAUCAUGCAUUCAUGUACUCAAUUAAAGAUUUCUCAUCAAACUUUAAUUGGGGAAUAUAACAUUAAGGCCCAAUUUUAUUCUACAGUAAUUCUAAAAUAUAGAUUUCCUAUAACGUAUACCCACUUUAAACUAUUGAAAUUCGAUUCUAAAUCCACCUUAUACAUCAAGCAUAAAAUCGUAGAGAAUCACACAGAUAGAUAAUUAAAAUUGAAAUUUAACAAUUAGGUUAAUUUCACGAUAGAUAAAACAUGAUUAAAUCUAUGCGAAAUAUAGUAGAAGUUAAAAAUCAAUCACACAACAAUGCUUGAAAUUGAAAUUCAAUACAUGCUUCAAUUAUUCGAUGGAAAGAACAUGAUUAAAUCCAUGAAAAUCUAAUAUAUAUUCAAUCAAUUUCAAAACAUAUUUAUAUGAAUAAGAAAUCCAAAUCUUGAAUUGUUGAGCAAUGAAAAUCAUAUUACAAUCAUGAGAAACGUUGAAAUAAUCGAUACCAAUCGAGCUCUUCCCUUGCUUCACCAAGGAUUUCUACCCUUCCAUGGAGUUCCUUCACCUAAGAAGAGAGAAAAUUGAUGUGGGGAGGAAGAAUGGCAUUCUGGGUCGAGACUAGGCCUUAAAAAUGUUUGCCAAACAAGUUUCCAUAAGCGUCCGCGUCAAAAUAGGAAUUUGAGAUUUCGCCCCCGAAAAAUACCCAUGCAGCCGCAUGGUUAUAAGCCAUGCGACUGCAUAGUUCAACCAAAAUGGCCCCAAAAGUUCUCAGAAGGCAACCUACACCAUGCGACCGCAUGGUUGUUACCAUUUCUUCCUCUGGACAGUUUUUAGUAUUUUGGCCAUAAUGUUUCCUCCUGAUGUCCGACUAAGGUGAUUCAAGUUGUGUUGGGUAGCUAACAUGAAGGGCUACAACUUUUCUUCAAAGUCAUCUUCCAAUUCGAUCAAUUUCAAUGUCAAAAAUGGGUGUCAACAUGAGGCUAAAAAUCGGUGCGGAACUUUUUUCAAUUGGGAAUUGAUUCGUGAAGAUGUUAUGGUCAUAUUUCACUUCUUUUGACUUCAAAUUACACCCAAUUGACUCCUAGCUUUUUUGAAUCAUCAUUCCAUUACCCGUCUCAUCUAUGUAUUAUUUGCAACUUGGUUCCUGAACUUUCACUUUCUUCCACUUUGCCCCUUUUUACUCAUUUCUUCCAAAUUUCAACAUUUUCUAUCAAAUUGCAGCCUAGAUCAAAACAUAAGAGUAAUGACUGCAUUUCAACAUCAAAUAAUCAUAAGAAAUCAUUAAUUAAGAGGGAAAAAUAUUAUAUUUUACACUCUUAUCAGACGCUUAUUUGAAGUGCCUUGAAUCAGACAAGUUUGAGACUAAAUCCGAUAGAUACAUAUUUGUGGGAUAUUCAAAGCAGAUAUUUGGAUAUCAAUUCUAUUAUCCCAUUCAGUAGAAAGUCUUCUUCUCAUGACAUAUCGUCUUCUUAGAGAAAAAGGUUUACUCUGUAAGAGGACGGUGGGAUCAAAAUAGAACUUGAAAGAGUUCAAGAGUCCACAGAUAUAGUUGACCGAGUAGAUGAAUCCGAGUUUGAUCCAACAUACUCUUAAUCAAGAAGUAGAGACUUCUAUGAACAUGACAACUCCAUUUAAAUCUAGUAAGAUCAUUUAACCUUCAAGAAUGUACGAAUCCACGGUUACUAAUCAAGUAUUAUUAAUCAAGGAUGAUGAACCUCCUAAUUACGCGGAAGCAAAGUCAAGUGUUGACUCAAAUAGAUGUCAGGAGGCCAUGGAAAAAUGAACUCAACGUAUGAAAACAAGGUUUGGACCUUGUCGACCGUCUUGAUGGGAUAAAACCCAUAAAUUGUAAAUGGUUUACAAGGAAAAUGUUGAUAUGGAUGGGAAUAUCCGUACAUACAAAACAAGGCUAGUAGCAAAAGGUUAAAAAUAAAGACAAGUGUUGACCUUGAUGAAACCUUUCGCCUGUAGCCGUGCUUAAGUCCAUUUCGAUUUUGGUUCCAAUAGUUACAUACCAUGACUAUAGGUUAAAGCAAGCUUCUUGGAGCUGAAAUCUUCGAUUUGAUAGAAAAAUCAAAAGGUUUGAUUUUAUCAAAUGUGAAGAUGAAUUGUUUGAUUGCAAGAAGAUAGUGGGAGUAUUUUCCCAUUCUUAAUAUUAUAUGUAAGACAUAUUAUUAAUAGGAAACGACAUCCCUACAUUCAAUCAUUGAAAUUGUGGUUGUUAAAUGAUUAUUCAUGAGCGACAUGGGAGAACUGAUCUAUAGAGAUAGAUUUAGAAGAUUGCUUAACUCAUCCCAAUCUACAUAGAUAAAAUCUCGAGAAAAUUUUAUAUGGAGAAAUUGAUUUACUCAUAAAUGGUGUGUUGGAAAGGUUCCACACAUGAAACAAUCGUUGAUUCAAUAGUAGAAACUUAAUUUAUGAUUGCUUUAUAAGCAGCAAAGAGUUGCAGUGUGGAUCAAGAUAUUCAUUAAUGAACUUAGAGUAGUUCCUAAUAUUAUUGAUAACAUGCCAUUGUAAUGUGAUAAAAAUAGAAGCAUCGCGCAAGUGAAGGAACUAAGGUCUCAUCAAUAACCCAUACAUGUGUUAAGAUAGUAUCAUCUCUUUGAAAAGAUAAUACAAAGAAAUGACGUAAAGAAAUGAAUGAAUUCUCACAAUUGAUAAUAUUGCAGAUCCACUGACAAAGAGCUGUCGCAGUAUAAAUAUAAUCGUCAUGUAGACUCUUAUGAUAUAGAUACACAAUUGAUUGGAUCUAGUGUAAAUGGGAGAUUGUAAGUGUUAUGCCCUAUGUCCAAUCGGCUUUUUUGGACAUAAAUAUUUUUAAUAUAUAGUUGAUGGGAUUUAUAGUAGAUCUAUUAUUUAAUUAAUUAAUAUUUAAUUGAAUUAAAUAAUGGAGUCCAUAUAUUCAAAUCUUAGAAAUUUGUUAAUGACAAAGAGUUGUGAUUUUAGCUACAAAUUACACAUGAUUGAAUCUUAAAUCAUCCAUGAUCAUUAGUAAUGAUGAGACACGAAUUUUGUUAUUACGGAUAGACCAUCACGUGUGACAUUUCUUACUUGUGAAGUAAGUAGCUGAUUUCACAAGCCAAAGUGUAGUGACACUUGAAUGAAUACAUGGAUGUUUUGUUAUAGAACAAAAUACUGGAGACCUGCAAAGAGAUUCUACAUCGAUAACUAUCUAAGUAUCAGUUGAUAAUCUCUAAUGUUCGAUAAUGAAAUUAGUUCGUUGACUUGAAGUUAUCAUAGUGCCUUAUAUGAGAACAGUUAUGCUUUGACGGUGUUAGAUGUUUCUCUGCCAAGGGUCGCUAAUACGACAUCGUUCAGGUAUGUCAAGAAUAGUAUGAAGGUUGAAAAUGAUCAAUAAAGGAUUCAUCACUUUUAGAUAGUAAGAGAUUAUGAUCUGCAUUUCAUUCAAUUAAGUCGACAACGAAAUCCUUGGUCAAUUGUACUCAUAAGUCGAAAAGGAGUUUUCGACUUAUAUUGACUUAAUAGUGGAGUGAAAGAUAUGAUCAAUAAUCUAGAUUGACACACUUCCAUAUCUCGUAAUUGAUCGGAUCAUAUUGACAAAGGGAUUAUAGUUUCGUGGUAAAUGAACGAAUUUGGUUUUGUCAUACCACGUGACAUUUUUUGUCACAUGUAUUGACCUUACACAUUGCUAGAUGUUAAUCUGGGAUGACAAUUUAAUUUAUCAAUUUUGAUUAGAUUAAAUAAUAUUUCACAUCAUUAGGCAUCAUGAUCGGGAACAUGAUGAGUCGCACACAAAUGAGAACUAGAAGAUCGUCAUUUGUCAAUUAAUUUAACAAGUGUUGGAUAAAUUAAUUAUUUGGGUUGCUUAUUUAUAGGCCCGAAUUAAUUAAUUAGAUUAAUUAAUUCACGAACCAAAUUUAAUUAAAUGGAUUAAUUAAAUAUUAAACUGAGUUAGGUCAAGCCUGUUUGGGCUUAUGUAAAUAAGUGAUUAGGGUUUUCAAUUUGUAAAGAUUUUUCAUUCUUCUUGGUAGCACAAGAAGAAAAUCCUAAUGCUACAAUCUUGGUCUCUUUGUGGAUUACCGUUGGAGGCUGGACAACUGAAAGCUAUGGGUGGCAGAUUAAAGUUGCUGGAAUGAAAGAAUAGUAAAGUAGUUUGCAAAAUCAAAGUAAGAAUUACAAAGGAGUUUGUAGAAUCAAUGAAAGGUACAAUUUUUAUCACAAUUUCUAUCUAAACACAAAGAGAUCCUUGGUGGGAAUUGAAAUCUGUUUUAUUUUUCCGCUGUGCAUGAUAAGUAGAUUCCCAACGCUACUACUUUUGAACUUAAAUCUGGACUAAUACAUCUUUUGCAUACUUUUCAUAGUCUUGUAGGCGAAGAUCCCCACAAAUAUCUAAAAGAAUUCCAUGUGGUUUGCACAAGCAUGAAAGCCAUUGGAGUAAAUGAAGAGCAAAUCAAAUUGAGAGCCUUUCCAUUCUCCCUGAAAGACUUAGCUAGGGACUGGCUCUACUAUCUACCAUAUGGAAGUCUCACACAUGGGAAGAGAUGAAGAGGAUGUUUAUAGAAAAAUAUUUUCUAGCUUCAAGAGCAGCUAACAUUCGAAAGGAGAUAUGUGACAUAAAGCAGGACAACAGAGAAUUUUUGCAUGAAUACUGGGAACGGUUCAAGAAAUUAUGUGCAAGUUGUUCUCACCAUCAGGUAACGAACAACUUCUCAAUCAAUAUUUCUAUGAAGGUCUUCUGCCAACUGAUAGGAGUAUGAUUGAUGUCGCAAAUGAGGGAGCUUUGGUGGAUAAUAUGUAAAUAGUGAAGGCGUGUGGAAUUUGUUUGGGGAUAGGGCAUCCAACUGACAUGUGCCUAACUCUUCAAGAAAACCCCAUUGAAUAAGUUAAUGUAAUUGGUGGCUUUCCUGGACAACCACAAAAGAGUUAUGAUCCAUACUCUAACACCUACAACCCAGGAUAGAGGGAUCAUCCUAAUCUUAGCUACACGAACCAACAAGUGAACUGACCUUAGCAACAAAACUCUUCAAAUUUCGAGCAAAAUAAGCAGCCAUAUCCUCCUAGACAACAACAAGGCCAAACUUCUAACCCUGGCAUAUCUUUAGAAGAUAUUGUUAAGUCUCUUGCUAUUAACACUUUACAAUUCCAAUAGGAGACAAGGGCAAACAUUCAACGUUUGGAGAAUCAGAUAGGUCAAAUGGCAACUGCAAUCAACCAGCUGCGAUCCCUCAAAUAGUUUUGAACCCAAGGGAAAAUGUAAGUACAAUUGAGUUAAGGACUGGCAAAGAGGUUGAAGCACCAGUGAGGUAGUCUCCACAUCGUCAGAACAAGAAAAUGAGGAAAAUACCAUCGCAACCAAAGGUACUUCCAAGAUGAGGAAGUUUCCUCCCCUUUCUGAGUAUAAACCACUAAAUCAAUACCUCCUUUCCCUCAGGCUUUAUUAGAAUCUAGAAAAGAUGAUCUAAAGAGUGAACUUUAUGAAACUUUCCGUAAAUGUGAGGUAAAUAUUCCAUUGUUACAUGCUCUUAAACAAAUACCCUGCUAUGCUAACUUUUUGAGAGAAUUGUGUACACUUAAAAAGAAGCAGAAACUUAAGAGGUGUAAAAAGAAAAACAUAGGGAAAAAUGUCUUUGCAAUCCUUCAAAGAAAACUCCUUGCAAAGUGCAAAGAUUCAGGCAUGUUUACUAUCCCUUGAACGAUAGGUAAUACUAGGUUCGAGAAGGCCAUGUUAGACUCAGGAGCUUUUAUUAAUGUCAUGCCAUACUCUAUAUACUCUUCUUUAAAACUUGGACCUUUGAAUGAAACUGAUAUUGUAAUCCAAUUAGCUAAUAAAUCUAAUGCCCAUCCUAAGGGUGUAGUUGAGGAUGUUCCUGUAAAUAUUAAUGAUUUGGUUUUCCCCGCUGACUUCUAUGUGCUUGAUAUAGGAUAUAUUGAUCAAGCUAUCCCUAUUUUACUGGGAAGACCAUUCUUAAGCACAUUCAAAACUAAGAUAGAUUUUUAUAGUGGCAUGCUUACUAUGGAAUUUGAUGAUAAAAUCAUUGAAUUUAAUAUUUAUGAUGCCAUGAAAUAUCUUGAUGACAUUAACCCUAUUUAUUCUAUCAAGAUGAUUGAUCAUUUAGAAUUGGAAGUUUUAGAACUUGAUGGGAAAGAUGUAGUGGAAGUUGCCAUUGAUAUUGCCUUACCAGAAACCAUUGUAGCAUUGAAUGCUUUUCCAAAGUUACCAAAGUCAGUUAAAAUUUUGCAUAUUGUAUUAUCAAUUGCUAACGAGAGGCCUUUCCAUGUAGAUUUCUAAGUGGAAAAGGUGAGAACAUGGGGCCUUGGAAAUCCAAUUGAUGCCGAUUAAGGGAAGAAGCAAUAAGUCAAAGGCGCUACUUAGGAGGCAACCUAAGGAGAGUUUGUUUCUUUACUUUUCAUUCCUCUUUUCGUUUUCACUUUCAUAUUUUAGGUUAAAUUUGCUCUCUUCUUGACAUUUUACUUUACAUUGGGGACCAUGUAAGUUUUAAAUGUGGAGGAGGAAAUUUAAGUUGUUUUUAAUUUUUUUUAUUUAGAUAGUGCUUCCGUCUCACAAUUACUUUUGACAAGAAAAGAAAAUUUUUCGAAAAAUUGAGGAGAAGUUGUGGUUUUAAAUGAUUUUUAUUGUAUGUGCUAUUUGCUUGUUUCAAUUAGAAUUUGACGGACUCAUAAUAUGAUUGAAUGAAUGAUCUUCCAACUUAGUGUUAAUUAGUUUAGUUAUUUCCUUUGAGGAUGGUAGUAACUAAAUUUUGUAGACAAAAAGCCAGUGGAAUUUUAAGCCUUUAGUAUGACACAUCCAUAGUCUCACUAUUUUCUUUCAUGAGUGAUUUUUUUCCAUGGAUUUGCUUCUCUAAAACUUGCCUUGAUUCUCUUCGAGGUCAUAUUGAUACAUGCAUGCAUGAACAUGAUUAAGGUCAUCUUUGUUGUAUAAAUUAGCCACCUUAGCCAAAUAGCCUACCCGGUAAUUAAUUUUUCCCUUUGUUGAAUCCCUUUGAGCCUUAUAGCCUUUUCUUUUAUGAACCCACAUUACAAGCUUUAAACCCGGAAAAAUAAUGUCUUUACCCAAGCUGUAGAGCUAGUAGAAUAUUGUUCUUCAUUUUGGUACGUAUAGGAGUGCGAAAGAAAUAAGUGUGGGGAUGUCUAAAGUUUUGGUAGGAUUAUAAUAGUGGAAUGGAACAUGUUCUCAAUUACAAUUCAUAUGUUCCAUUGUUGGUGAUAUUAAAAAAAAUAUAGAAUUUUUUAAAAAAAAAUGAAAAGAAGAAAAAUGAAAAAAGAAUGAUGAAAAAGAAAAAGAAAAGAAAAGAAGCGAUGAAGUUAUGUUCGUGAUUCCUCCUAACAUCACAAAAAAGGGUUGGUUUGCGUGAAAUAUAUGCAAAAAAAGUUGUAAGUGGAAAGAUUUGAUCUUACAUGUUUUACAUAUACAUUUGAGCUGAGUUAAUUCAUCUAUACUCCUCCAGUUUCGAUGGCUUUUGAGUUACAUAUCCAAAUAUUUCCCACCAAAACCCUGAGCCACGUUACAAGCCAUGUAAAAGACCUUAUGAUUUGUGUAAUGCAGGUGAUCUAAUUGGUUGAAAAUGUGAAGAUAUGCAAGCAUAUGGUAGAUCAUGUCUAUUGGAAUGAACUUGAACGAAACACUUACCUUUCAAACACGUAAGAGUCGAGUGCUUAUAACCUAUGAGGGUCUACAUGUUUGGUUUACUCCAUCUUUAUAUGAGAAUACUUGCUAAUUGAUUAUAAGUUGUGUGAGAAUGUUUCUUCAUGAUGUGUUAUGUUUUUUGACAAGUAUGGUUGGUCUAUGUUGAUGGCAUGGCAAUAUUAAUAUUUUGUGAAAGUAAAUUUAAAUUUUACUCAAGGACGAGAAAAAGCUAAGUGUGGGGAAAUUUGAUAAGACAUAAAAUGUCAUGUUUUACAUCCAUUAAUAUUUUUUUCAUUUUUGUGAUUAAUUAAUGUCUAAAAGUACUCAGUACCCUUAUAAUUAGAUUUAGGUUGUGAAUGGAUGGCAAAUAUGGAAUUUAGGAGAAAAAGAGCGAAAAAAGAUCUAUGCAGAUCACGGGGAGUCAUUGGUAACUCAAAGGAUCUUAAGUAUUGUUCAAGAAGAAUAUAAAGAUGACUAGCUUCGAAAGAACAUCUUUCACACGAAGUGCAUUUCUUAUGGCAAGGUUUGUGACAUGAUAAUUGAUGGUGGCAGUUUCAAGAAUUUGGUGUCAACAAAAAUGGUGGACAAAUUGAAUUUGAAGAUGGAGAAUCAUCCUGAUCCUUACAGGCUUCCAUGGCUCUGCAAAGAUAACAAAAUCAAAGUUAACAAGCGUUGUCUUGUUUCUUUUUCUAUUGGCAUGAAAUAUAAAGAUGAAGUAUGGUGCAAUGUUUCCCCUAUGGAUGCUUGUCAUUUACUUCUUGGAUGUCCAUGGCAAUAUGAUAGAGGAACUAUUCAUUGAUGGCUAAAAGAAUGCCUACACUUUCUUUAGAGACGGAGUCAAAAUUAUUUUGGGGACUCUUAAAGAAAAAGCUAUUUCCAAGCCUUCAAAAGCGGAGGAAAAUAAUUUUCUAACUCUUUCGGAUUGCAAAAGAGUUGGAAAUGGGUAUUCAGGCCUAUGCUCUCAUGAUUGUUGAAGAAAAUGAGAUUAAUGAAAAUUUAGCUCAUGUCAUGAAACAGCUUCUUCAAGAAUUUCACGAUUUUAUACGGGAGGAAAUUCCACCAGGCCUUCUACCCAUGAGAGAUAUUCAACAUCAUAUUGAUCUUGUUCCAGGUGAUGUCUUGCCAAAUAAAUUAGCCUACAAGACGAGUCCAAAAGGACACGAAGAGCUACAAAGACAAGUGGAUAAUCUCUUAGCAAAGGGAUUGGUGAAAGAAAGCAUGAGUCCUUGUGAUGUACUAGCUCUCUUAUUUCUGAAAAAGGAUGGUUCAUGGCGAAUGUACCUGGAUAGUAGAGUUAUAAAUAAAAUCACUAUUGACUAUCACUUUCCUAUUCCUCGACUGGAUGAUCUUCUUGACUAAUUUUUUGGAGCAUCUAUAUUUUCGAAGAUUGAUCUUCGCAACGGCUAUCAUCAAUUUUGAAUAAGACAUGGAGAUGAGUGGAAAAUAGCUUUCAAAACACGUGAUGGUCUCUAUGAGUGGAUGAUUAUGCCAUUUGGUCUUUCCAAUGCUCAAGCACCUUUAUGCGCUUAAUGAAUCAUGUCUUCAAACAUCUCAUUGGAAAAUUCGUUGUGGUAUACUUCAAUGAUAUUCUCAUCUACAGCAAAAAUGAAGAACAACACUUGCAUCAUCUUCGUGAGUUCUUCAACAUUUGCGAGAGCAAGGUAUAUGCCAACUUUAAGAAAUGUAGAUUAUUCACUGACAAUCUUAUAUUUUUGGGUUAUUUUUUUUCGAUGGAGGGGAUCAAAAUGGAUCCAAGGAAAGUUGAGGCUAUCUUGAAUUUGUCGAGAAUUUACUUAAAAAUGUACAGGGAAAAUAAAAAUAAUUUCAAUUCCCACCAGGAUUCAUCUUUGUAUUUAGAUAGGAAUUGUGAUAAAGUUAUACCUUUUCUUAAAUCUACAAACUCCUUUGCGUUAUCUUUGUUCCAACAACUUGGAUCUGCCUCCCACAACUGUCUAAUUGUCCAGCCUCCAAUGAAUUCCACACAGAGAAUAGAUUGCAGCCACCAGGGUUUUCUCUUCUUGUGCUAGCAAGAGUUAUGAGAUUCUCCAUAGAUUGAAAACUCUAGUCGUGCAUUUAUGUAAGCCCAAACGAGCUUGACCUGGUCCGGUCCAAUAUUUAAUUAAUCCAUUUAAUUAAAUCCGGUCCAUGAAUUAAUUGAUUUAAUUAAUUAAUUCGGACCUAUAAAUAACCAAUUCAAUUAAUUAAUUUAUCCAAUAAUUGUUAAUUAAUUAAUUGAAAAUUUACAAUCUUCCAAUUCUCUUUUGUGUGUGACCCAUUAGGUUCUCGACCACGAUGCCUAAUGACGUGAAAUAUUAUUUUGAUCUAAUCAAAAUAGAUAAAUUAAAACACCCAUUUAAUUUAUAACCAAUUCACACUCGCCGUCUCAGAUUGACAUCUAGCAAUGUAUCAGGGUAACACAUGUGACGAGAAAUGUCACGUGGUACGACAAAACCAACCUUGUUCAUUUACCAUGAAACUAUAAUCCCUUCGUCAAUAUGAUCCGAUCAAUUACGAGAUAUGGAAGUGUGUCAAUCUCAAUUAUUGACCAUAUCUUUCAUUCUACAAUUAAGUCAACAUGAGUUGAAAACUCCUUUUCGAUUUAUAAGUAUAUCUUGGCCAAGAAUUUCGUUAUUAACUUAAAUGAAUGAAAUGCAGAUCACAAUCUCUUACUAUCUAAGAGUGACGAAUUCUCUAUUGGUCAUUCACAAGCUUCAUAUGGUUCUUGACAGAACCGAAUGAUACCGUAUUAGCAGCUCAUGGCAGAGCAACAUCCAACACCAUCAAAGUAUAACUGUCCUCAUACAAGACACUAUUACAACCUCAAGUCAAAGGAUCAAUUCCACUACCAAACGUUAGAGAUUAACUACUGACACUCAUAUAGUUAUCCAUAUGGAAUCUCUUAGCAGCUCUAAUGUUUCAUUCUAUAACAAAACAUCCACACGUUCAUUUAAGUGUCACCACACUUUAGCUUGUGAGAUCAGCUACUUUUUUCACAAGUAAAAAAUGUCACACGUGAUGAUCUAACAGUAAUAACGAUAUCCGUAUUUCGUUAUUACUUAUAACCAUGGAUUAUUCAAGAUCCAAUCAUAUGUAAUUUGUAUCUUACAAUCACAACUCCUUGUGAUUAACAAAUAACUUAAACUUAAAUCUUUGGACUCUAUUAUUUAAUGUUAUUUAUUAGAAUAUUAAUUUAAAUAAAUAAUAGAUCUUGCCAAAAAUAAAUGCAUUAAACAUAUUAGAAGUGUUUACAAUGUAAAUCGAUUGGAUCUAGGAUAUAACACCUACAAACUCUCACUUGCAUUAGAUCCAAUCGCUCAUGUAUCUAAUACCAUAAGCGUCUACAUGACAAUCAUGUUUCUAUUGUGAUAAUGGCUUUGUCAAUGGAUCUGUAAUAUUGUCAUCCGUGGGAACUCGCUCUAUCUUUACGUCAUUUCUUUGUAUAAUCUCACUGAUGUGAUGAUAUCGCUUUAGCACAUGUUUGGAUCAUUAUGAGACCUCGAUUCCUUGGCUUGUGCGAUGGCUCCAUUGCUUUCACAAUACAAAGGUAUGAGAUCCUCAAUGCUAGGAACGACUCCUAGUUGAUUAAUGAACUUCUUGAUCCAGACAACUUCCUUCGCUGCUUCAGAAGCAGCAAUGUACUCGACUUCUGUUGUUGAAUUAUUGGUUGCCUCCUGUUUGGAACUCUUCCAACUAAUCACUCCAUUAUUGAGAGUAAACAUAUAUCCUGAUUGAGACUUGCUAUCAAGAACACAUCUUUAGCCCCCUCCAAUAGGGGACGCCACUUGGCUGCAACAUUGCUAAUUGAAUUUUAUUGAACCCCGUAAAAUGUACAAUUCAGUAUAGAUAGCAAUACAAAGAUUACAAAAGAUUAUUAACAUACAAAGUACGAGUAAGUACAUAAGAUUCAAAGGCAUGAAUUUCUAUGAUACAUGUAAAUAUUCUCCCUUAGAAAGUUGCAGGUUAUUGUUAUACUUCGCAACUCAUUAACAUUAUUAAUCAUGAGCAGUAGAAUUUGGUGCACUUAACUUUUGAAAAGGUGAAUAUAUACCAGAACAGAAGUUCAGAAAGGUAGGAGUUAUAUGCAGACAGUUAUGGCAAUUGAAAACUCCUGAAUUCUUUUAUAAUUGUCCACAAUUCCCAUUAUCUGAAGUGCCAUAAGUCUGCUAUAAGAGAUUGCUAUCAACCACCUCAACGUUCAUAUCCUGUAUUACAAAAACGAAUGCACAUCUACUGAAUUUAUUGCUUCACCUGGAUAGAUCAUUUAAUGAUACACAUUUUAGAACGACAACCUUUAUUUUUGAAUGCUGUCAUGGCCUGAUGGCGCUGUCUUAGACAGAUGGCUCAACAUAUGUGAUUGUAUCUACGAACACAACACCCCCAAAUCAAACAGCAAUGUACGGUGAGAAUAUAUACAACCACAAAGAAUUAAUACUUAACAUUGUAGUUUUAUGAUAACCACAUAUUAAUAUGCUAACAAAAUUACAAGAUUUAACAAUAAAAUUAUUUCAUUACCGCUAUUUCUCCAUCAUCGUACUUUUCUUCAAUGACAUCCUUUAAAUCCUCUAACCGGCCCAUCAAAAUAAAACCUGUAAUGUCUUGAACAGUUACUUGAUUCUCAUAACAUUUACCUGCAACCAAACAUGUCAAGUUAUCCUAAAAAGAUGCUGAAAGUUCUUUUUCAGUUAAAGAACUUAUCUUCAUUUUCUAUGUCACAAGAACCACAUUAUAAAACACAAGAAAAUCUUAAGAUUAUUACAUCGGUUUUUGUCAACUUUGUAUUUGUCAGUAUUUUUUUCAGCAAACAAAUACACAAAAACAUUCCCAACAAACUCAAAUUUCUCAUUCACAUCAACAACAAAGAUCCAAUCUUCCUUAGCAAAUUUCUACCUAUUCUUCACCAACAAAACACAUUAGUUAGCAUAAAGAACUCAAAAGGAUUCACAAUUUUCAUCAUAAAGCUGCAUAUAAGUUCAUGAAACCCAAACCUUUGAAGAAGAUCUGCUCAAACUCUUAGAAAGCCUAGGCCAAUUUAUUCCCUACAGUAACAGUGCAGAGGUCCUCGCGUAUAAGAGGAAAAAAAAACAGAAGAAAGAUGAAUAAUUAAGAAAACUAGAAAAUUAAUCCGUGGAGAAUUUUCUGAUUGCAUUCAUUCUAAUAAUUAUGACUGUACAGCAAGAUACAUAUAUAUAGUGUUACAAAAGAAUAUUAUCUAACAAAUUCAGUUAGGCAAGCUGUGUAAAUAUAAUUAAAAAGAAAAAGGAAAAUAGUUGAAUAUAGGCUGCACAAAGAAUGUAUAACAGAAUCCUAAUAACCUACAAAGCUUCUAGAAUUCUUUCUGUUCACGUGCUCUUGCCACUUGCUGAUUUUCAUUUUCUAAUAACCCCUCGCAAGAUGGAGAGUAGAUGUCUUCUACUCCCAUCUUGAACGAGUGAGCAUAAAACUUGGAGAACUUAAUGAUUUGGUUAAUAGAUCUGCAAUUUGCAUCCCACUACUGACAUGUGCAGUGACUAUAGUCCCAUUUUGGAUCUUAUCUCGUACAAGAUGGCAUUCAAGCCCAAUGUGCUUGGUUCUCUCGUGAAAGACAGGAUUUGAUGUUAUAUGGAGUGCAGCUUUGUUAUCAUAGAAGAUAGUUGCUGAUUGCGGGUGUUUGAUUUGGAAAUCAUUUAUCAGAUAUCUCAUCCAAGUUAACUCACAGCACAAAUUUGUCAUUGCUCAGUAUUCUGCUUCGGUAGAAGAUCUGGACACAACCCCUUGCUUCUUGGACUUUCAGAAGACCAAAGAAGAUCCUAUAAACACACAAUAACCAGAAAUCGAUCUCCUUGUAUCUUGAUAUGCUCCCCAAUCUGAAUCACAAUAACCCAUUAAUUGAAGAUCUAUUUGAGCAGGAUAGAAUAAGCCCUGUCCGGGAGCUGCUUUAAUGUACCUUAAGACCCUAUGGGCUACAUUAAGAUGAGGUAAUCUGGGACAGUCCAUGAAUUAACUUAACAAUUGUACUGAGUAAGACAAAUCAGGUCUUGUUAUGGUUAAAUACAAUCGCCUCCUCCUGUAAAUCGAUGGAUUAGAAAGAAGUUUACCUUCGUACUUGGAAAGCUUUAGAUUUUGAUCAUGUGGGAUUCUAGCUGGUGUUGUACCAAUUUUACCUAAAUCUUCCAAAAUGUCAAGUGCAUAUUUUCUCUGGCAUAUAUAAAUUUCUCGAUCUGACCUCGCCACUUCAACUCCAAGGAAGUAUUUCAAUUGUCCCAAGUCUCUGAUUAUGAACUUAUCAUGAAGAGUAGUUUUGGGAGUGUUAAUGGUAUCCAUACAACUACUGGCCACUAUGAUAUCAUCGACAUAUACUAGGAUAGCAGUGAAGGAAUGAUUUGUGGUUCUUGUGAAUAAGCUAUAAUCUGCCUUGGACUGUGUAAAACCUUGUCCAACAAUGAAGUUAGACAAUUUAUAAUUCCAUUGCUUGGAAGCUUGUUUGAGUCCAUACAAACUUUUCUUCAAUUUACAAACCUUUGAUCUAUCGGCAUUAGGAUAUCCUGGCUUCUCUAAGUCUCCAUGUAGGAAUGCAUUGUUCACAUCAAACUGGUAUAGAUGCCACCCUUUUAUUACUGCUACAGCCAACAAUAUCCGCACUAUAACCUGUAUCGCUACAGGAGAAAAGGUUUCAUGAUAGUCAAGACCCUCCUGUUGUGUAUAUCCUUUAGCUACCAACCUUGCUUUAUAUCUUUCUAUAUUUCCAUCAGCAUUAAAUUUAAUCUUAAAAACCACUUGCAACCUAUAGCCUUUUUACCAGGAGGUAGGUCAAUGAUGACAAAACUAUCAUUUAAUUCAAGGGCAUCUAUUUCAGCUCCAUGGCACUACACCACUCAGGAGGCUCUAAAGCUUCCUCAAAAUUUUUAGAUUCUGUAUGUGUGCUAAUGGAAACAACAAAUGCUUUGUGUGGAGUGGAGUGGAGAGGUUAUGAUAAGAUAAAGUAGCUCUUAGAGGAAAGGGAUUACCUGAAGAAAUUGUGACCUUUUGCCUGUCCAAUUCUUGUGAAUGGAGAAGUAGAGCUGCUUGUUGACAAACAAAAUCCUGUAAGUGUGUGGGAAUCUUUUUUAAUUUUGUUUGACCUUCGAGGUAAAGGCUGAUUUGAGAACUGGUUUUGAGUUGGAGUUGUGUUUGGUUCUGAUGUACUUGGAGGUUCAAAUGGCUCAACAUUUAGUUCUUGUGUGGGCAUUGGAGAGUUUGUGGUGUCUGAUGAAGUGUCUGUUGUUUGAGUUUGAUCGGGGGUUGCUGUAGAGUUAGUGAAUGUAGGAUUUGGAUUGUUUAUUGCAAAUUCUGACUGAGUGGUAAUUGGAGUUCGAGAAAUGAAACUUUGAGCUAGAUUUGGGGAGCAAACAAAGCUGGUAUUAGUAGCUUGUUUGUAUGGGAACACAUUGUCAAGAAAAAUCACAUUUCUAGAUAUGGAGGUUUUCUUUGUUUCCAAAUCCAUUAAUUUGUAACCCUUGAUCCUGAAGGGGUAUCCCAAAAAUAUGCACCUCCUAGCUCUAGGGUCAAACUUAUGUUUACCAUUCACUAGAGUUGUAGCAAAGGCAAGACAUCCAAAAACUUUGAGAUGAGUAUAGUUAGGCUUUGAUUUGAAAAGAAUCUCAAAAGGGGUUUUGUUGUCCAGAAGAGGUGUCGGGGUUCUAUUUAUGAUGUACACAGCUGUGAGUAUACAGUCACUCCAAUAUCUUUAUGGGACAUCACUUUGGAAUUUCAAAGCUCUUGCCAAGUUUAAGAUGUGUUGGUGUUUUCUUUUGGCUACCGCAUUUUGUUGGUGGGUUUCUACACAUGUUCUUUGGUGAAUGAUUCUUUUUUGUAAAUAAAAUUGUUUCAUGUCAAAUUCACCUCCAUUCUCCAAUCUAAUGAUUUUGACUUUAGUUCCAAAUUGUGUUUCAACCAUUGAACAAAAUCCUUGUAAAGCAUUACUAGCAUCAUAUUUCAAUUUCAAUAAAUGAGUCCACGGACAUCUACUAAAGUCAUCUACAAUACUUAGGAAAUAUCGAAAACCUUCAUAGCUAUUCUCAUUACAUGGUCCCCAAAUAUCACAAUGUAUGAGGUCAAAACAUUUUUCUGAUCUAUCUUCACUGGUAUGAAAUGGCAAUCUAUGUAAAUUGUCUGAAGGGCAAAUAAAGCAUGGUUGUUUAGUAGAUUUUGGAAUAUGGUCAAGCUUGGAAUAUGUGCCAGAGAUCAAAGUCCUCAGCAUUAUUAAAAAUGGUAGAAGCAGAUGCGGGCAGUUUAUGGGUGAUAAGAGCUAACUUUUUUGUCGAAGCUGAAGAAGGCAUUCCUUUUUGUAGUAGGUGAUAGAAGCGUUGCUUUACUUCACUCAUUCCAAUCAUUUUCCAAGUCAGAAGGUCCUGUAUAAAACACAAGUUAGAGAGGAAAAUAAGACAACAGUUCAUGGUUUGUGCUAUCCUUCUAGCUGAAAUGAGAUUAAAAGAAAAUGAUGGGACACAGAGAACUUCAUCAAGGAUUAGAGAUUCUAAAAACUUCACUGUCCUAAUGUGAGUGAUAGGAACUUACGCACCAUUUGGGAAAGCUACUGAAUAAGAAACUUUAACUUUGAUUGCGAUAAAAAAAGAGGUCGCACAUAUCAUAUGAUCUCUAGGUCCUGUAUCUAGUAUCCAAGGAGCUGUAAACGAGUUAGAAAAUUUACCGUUACAAGCAGAAAGACAUAAAGAAGUACCAGAGAUUUUGGGCAUGUUGUCAUUGUUAGGAUGAGGCGGAAUAACAGCUUGAACUUGAUUUACAGAAUGAAUGGAAGUUUGCUGACUUAGUGGCUUCAGCAGUGCCAUGAGCUGAGCAUAUUGCUAAUGAGUUAAAGACAUUUGGCUUGUGCCAUUACCUGUUCUUGACUAGAAGGUAUAAGUGUAGUGGCUUGGUUAGCAAAAGAUGCCGAGGAUUUGUUUCUUCCAUCUGUUUUGUUGCCUGGUGGAUACCCAUGUAAUUUGUAACACUUGUCCAUAGUGUGGCCAGGCAUUUUGCAGUAGGAGCAGUUGAUUUAUUCGAAUUAGCCUUAAAGCAUCUCUCAAGGGAGUGCCUAGCCAUCUUGUAGUAGGUGCAAUAGUAUUUGUCUCUUUUCUGAACGGAUGGGUUUCUCCUUCUAUCUUUGAAACUUCCUUUUACCAAGAAUGCCAUAGGAUCAUUGAUCAUCCCAUCAGAGCAUAUCUGUUUUCUUCUCUUUUUGCUUAUAAUGGAGUAUGCCUCAUUCAAACAAGGAAAAGGCUUAAUCAGCAAAAUCUGCACCUUAAGUUCCAUGUAUGAAUCAUUUAGACCUAUUAGAAAUUUCAUAACCCAAUCUCUCUUUUGAUUUUGCAUAACAAUUUUUAAGUCCCCACAGGAACAACUAGGGAUUGACUCAUAAUUCAUUAACUCAUCCAAGAGACUCUUAAGUUUGGAGAAAUAAACACUUACAUCAUCUUGAUUCUGGACUAGAGAUGUUAUACUUUGAUUAACUUCAUAUACUCUCGGUGCGUUCUGUUGCACAAAACGUUGUUCAAGAUCCAACUAGAGUUCACGAGCCGUCUAUACAUAUGUUGUGCGGCACUUGAUAGCUACUACCAUUGUGUUUUGCAUCCAAGUGAUCACAAUAUCAUUGCACCGUAACCAAUGCUCCAUGAGGGGAUCGUUUUGGUCUGAAGGUUCAUGAAUACUGCCAUCAAUGAAACCCAACUUCUUUUUAAUUCUGAGAGCUCUUUUUAUCGAACUAGCCCAGGUAUAGUAGUUGCUUGCAUCCAGUAUAUGAGAGACUAACACAGCACCACUUCCAUCACUGCUACUAAUGUAAUAAGGACUGCUUGGUAAGAUAGGAUCAUGAGAAAAAAUUGCUGAUUCACUAGAUGAGUUUGCUUUUAAAUUUGGAUUUGGAUUUGGAUUUAGAUUUUCAGGAGAAUUUGGAUCAGAGAUUUCAGUAUCCACCAUUGUUGGCUCUGAUACCAUAUAAGGAAAAAAAAAACAGAGGAAAGAUGAAUAAUUCAGAAUAGUAGAAAGUUAAGCCCUGGAGAAUUUCCUGAUUUCAUUCAUUCUAAUAAUUAUGACCGUGCAGCAGGAUACGUAUAUAUAGUGUUACAAAAGAAUAUUAUCUAACAAAUUCGAUUAGCCAAGUUGUGUAAAUAUAAUUAAAAAGGAAAAGGAAAAUGGCAGAAUAUAGGCUGCACGAAGAAUGUAUAACAGAAUCCCAAUAACCUCCAAAGCUUCUAGAAUUCUUUCUGUUCACGUGCUCUUGCUACUUGCUGAUUUUCAUUGUCUAAUACCGCGUCCUCUGUUGAUAUCAGAACAGCGCCGGAACUCCUCUCUGUUGGUGGUGCUGGCAGAAAAGUAACAUCCUCAUCAUCGUCCAACAUCUGAUUCUUUGGUGCAUAAAACGUCGAGUACCAGAGAAGAGCAGAAUAUAGAAGCCAUUGUGAUGGACAUGUAUGAAAUUUGUAUUCAAAGAAAUAAAUUGUAGGUAAUUUAAUUGCCUAUAACUUAUUUAAAUGGAAAUUGUCGAUUAACUGUGUUUCAUUAAUUUAAUUUUUGACAUAGAAAAUAUUAUAUUUGUUUAGUUUUUAAUUCACCAACUCUUACAUUUUUACCAAUUCUUACAUUUUCUACAAUUUUCACUUUAUUUGUCCUAAUUUUAAAUUUUUAGAACGUAAAAAUGAAAUUAUUUUUACAAAAUAAAAUAUUGUUUUGCAUUGGAAGAACAUUUUCUUUUUUGCAAUAUUUGGAAUUAUUUUUCUAUUUUUUACGUUUUACACAAUUUUAUUGUCAGCAAGAUUAUUUAUUUUAAAUAUUCUAAAGCUCAAUAAAAACUUGAAAUAAUCUAAAACAUUACGGAAGGACUAUAUUUAUUCUAUAAAAUUUAAUUGAUACUUAUUAUUUCUCUUAAAAUUACCAAAGAAUAUUUUAGUAACUAGGUAAAUGUUUAAUAAAUGCUUAUUUUUUCAAAAUAUAUUCCGGUGGAUUUUUUUCUUUUGGUGCCCACUUAAUAAAUUUUUAUUUUUGCUGAAAUAAUUUACUAACAAAUUUUCUCCAUUGCUAAUUAAUUUAUUAUUUUAUAUAGUUUCCAACGAGAAACAUCCGGACGUGAACCCGCGUAGGUCAACGCUAAGGAACCCACGAACAAGAUUGAAAUCUUCCCAAGAAAGUCAAGGCAAGGUUUUGGAUUAAAUUCAAUAGAUUUGGAACCAAGCAACCCGAAUCGUCGACGAUGUACGGACCUCUUGAUUACACAAAAAUACAGAAUCUCAUCCGGUUGAUUUGAACGCCACAAGAUUAAAUCUUGAUAAGUUCUUGAAUUGUUCAAAUGUAGAACAAGAGAUGAAAGCAAUAUAGUCUCUCAAAUUACGAAAAAUGUCAAAAGGUUCUUACAAUUGAAAAUAAAAUAGUAUUUAUACUAGGUCUAAAAAACUAGGUAAAAACGUGCAUAAUAUUUCAAAUAUGGCAAGAAAUCUACUAAGUAUCAAAUUCUAUCAAAAAUAGAAAAUUCGCAAUUAAAAUAAAAAAAAUUGCGUCAAAUUUUAACAAUGCGGUUGCAUGGUGUAAAAUCAUGCGGCCACAUGGAACAUUCGAAAAUCUCGAAUAAUUCCCUGCCUCACUCCGUGCGACCGUAGGACGGUUUUGAGCAUGCGGUCGCAUGGUUCUUCUCUCCAGCUCCAUCUUCAGCUGCUUGGAUCGUGUUGGUCCAAUUGGUUUCGGUCUUUGACCCGAACACGAAACUUGUCCCAUUUUGAGUCCUGAACAUGAUUUCAUUGAUGGUUGUCUUGACGAGUAAUCCUAUCGCCUCUUUCACUUGCUUUGUCCUUGCUCGUGUCAUAGGUCCACCUUCGACUUUCAACGGAUCUUUCCCCGGGCUUGACGUUGGACUUGAUUUGGUUGCUUGCGGCUCCUAGAUCACAUCAUCCCCUCUCUCUUCGAAAGGAUUCGUCCUCAAAUCUGAACUUGCAGCAAAGAGAAAAAGAUCAGAUAUAUUAGAAGUUGCCGAAACGUUAUACUCACCUGGACGAUCCAAUUUGUAUGCAUUGUAAUUAAUCUUCUCAACUACUUGAAACGGUCCAUCUCCCCGUGGUAACAACUUUGAUUUUCUUUGCUCUGGGAACAGCUCUUUUCUGAAGUGCAUCCAAACCCAAUCUCCUAGUUCGAAUGCGAACAUUUUUCGUGCCCUUAUUUGCUUGCUCCGCAUAGGGCUUGCUUUUCUUCUCAAUUUGUUCCCGUACCUUUUCAUGGAGUGACUUCACCAACUCGGCCUUUUCUUUUUCUAUCCAAGCUACCUCGUUCAUUAAUAGGAAAAGGUAUUAAAUCCAUAUGUAUUAUAGGAUUAAAAUCGUAAACAAUUUCAAAAGGAGAAAACGACGUGGCGGAGUGUGUGGCCCUAUUAUAUGCAAAUUCGAUGAAAGGUAAGCACUCUUCCCAAUUCUUCAUUUUUUUAUUAACUACGGUGUGCAAAAGUUGUGUCAUAGUCCUAUUCACUACUUUAGUUUGGCCAUCUGUUUGUGGAUGAGAAGUUGUAGAAAAUAGUAGUUUCGUGCCUAACUUACUCCGCAAGACUCUCCAGAAGUGACUAAGGAACUUAAUAUCCGUAGCUGACACUAUGCUUUUAGGUACCCCAUGCAAGUGCACAAUUUCUUUAAAGAACAAAUCUUCAAUGUUAGUGGCAUCAUCAGUUUUGUGACAUGGAAUAAAAUGUGUCAUUUUACUAAACCUAUCCACCACUACAAAAAUUGAAUCUUGCCCCUUUUUAGUCCUAGGCAAAUCUAACACAAGGUCCAUUGAAAUAUCUACCCAGGAUUCACUAGGUACUGACAAAGGUGUAUACAGUCCAUGAGAUAAGACCCUAGAUUUGCCCUAUCUAAAUUUUAUGCAUCGACUACAAACCCUUCCUGCAUCAACUUUCAUUUUAGGCCAAUAGAAAUAUUCAGUCAAUAUCUCUAAAGUUUUUACUACCCUAAAGUGACCUAUAAGUCCCCCACUAUAUGCUUCUCUAACCAAUAGUUCAUGCAUAGAGCAAUUAGGAAAGCAUAAUUUACUCUCCCGAAAUACGUAUCUCUCAUGCUUAAAGAACUUAUCUAUAGCCCCAUUGUCACAUGAAUUGUAAAUGUCGAAAAAAUUAGAAUCAGUAACAUACAUAUCCUUAAUAUACUCAAAACCAAGCAAUUUUGCAUCUAAAGUAGUUAGAAGCACAUACCUGCAUGACAAUGCAUCUGCUACUACAUUUUCCUUAUCUUGUUUGUAACGGAUGACAUAUGAAAAAAGUUUCGAUGAAUUCCAUCCAGUGUGCAUGUCGUUUGUUCAACUUACCUUGACCCCGCAAAUGUUUCAGUGAUUCAUGAUCUAAAUGAAUUACAAACUCUUUCGGCCAUAGGUAAUGCUGCCAUGUUUCCAAAGCUCGAAUAAGUGAAUAGAGUUCCUUGUCGUAUGUAGGAUAAUUGUGAGCCGCACCACUUAGCUUUUCACUAAAGUAUGCUAUAGGUCUCUUAUCCUGCAUUAAGAUUGCUCCUAUAUCUAUUCCUGAUGCAUCAUGCUCAAUCUUGAAAGUUUUGUCAAAGUUAGGAAGUGCUAAAAUUGGUGCUUUACACAAACAAUCUUUGAUAGUGUUGAAUGCAUGUUCUUGCUCUAACUCCCAAUGAAAUCCUAUAUUUUUCUUGACAAUUUCAGUUAAGGGUGUGGUAAUUGUGCUAAAAUCUCUAACAAAACGCCUAUAAAAACUAGUCAAUCCAUGAAAACUUCGAACCUCGGUUAUGUUCUUAGGUGUUGGCCAAUCCUUAAUAGCUUUUAUUUUCUCUUCAUCUACCUCUACACCAUUAACACUAACCAAAAAGCUUAAGAAUACAACCUAUCCAUGCAAAAUGUAUACUUUUUAAAAUUGGCAAAAAGUUGUUCCUUUCUUAAAAUCGCAAGCACACAUUUUAGAUGUUCCACACGCUCAUCAAGACUCUUGCUGUAACGCCCCGAAUUCUUUAGCAACCCGGAACGUUACCAAACGUGAAUUGAUUAAUAAAGUGCUUGAGGCAAAUACAUUUUAAUAUAACGAGGAAUUCAGUAAAAAUUGAACAACCUUAACAAAAGGUAAAUUAAAUUAAAUAACAUAUGCGGAACAAUUUGGAAUCAUAUCUUUUAUCAAACAUUAAUAAAAGUAGUUCUAACAAAUAAUAAAAAUAGGACUAAUUGAAAGUUAUGACGUGACUCACAAUUGAGUCUAAAUUUAAAAAUAAUAAUAAUCAACUGUUAAUAAAUAUUCUAGUGUUUUUAAAAAUUAAAGUACUUCAUGAUGGAGAUCCAUUGGUCCAAUAUGCAUCCAUCCACCGCCGUCCAGCAUACUAAUUUCUACCUGAAAAUUUUAAAUAGAGAGGGAUGAGUAUAACGAAUUAUACUCAAUGAGAUACUUGCUACUCCACAUUCAAAUCAAACGUGAAAUUAUGCAUAAAUUCUCUUACCAACAUAACAUGAGAAUUAUCACACCAUGACAAAUGAUAAUUCAAGCAAGCGCUGCAAAUAACGUGAAGGCUAAAUUGUGCCUUAAACUGUAUCAUGAUUUCUCCCAAAGGAGCUCUGAACUGGAGUAAUUAAAUCCAUACAUAACAACGUAUUUGAAAAGAUGUGGACAAACCACUAAUAGCACUGAGUAUCUCACCUUUUGAAGAUGAACGUGAAAAAUAAAAUUGCUGAAAACGUGAUUCUUUAUUGCGAUUCCAAGGCCUUAAAAAGGCUUAAUAAUAUGGAGAAAUAUUUUAAAGAGGAGAAGAGAAUAAAGACGUGCAGAAGAAGAAUGAUGAAUUAAUGACUGAAUGCUUGAGGUUUAGUGCUAUAUUUAUACUAAACCAUGGUGUAGGGUAAUCACGUGGGAAGUGGAAUUUUGCUAAGAUUUGAACUCUAAAUUUCCAUGCACAUCACAUAAGUUAGUUUAGAAUUCUGAUCCCAUAAAUUAGUUUGAAAUUCUGAUUGGUGGUUUCUUAUGGGAUUCUGCCGAGUUUUAUAUCAGAUAAGGAAAGGAUAAAGAUAAAGAGGCUGCAUGACCUUUACACACGUGGACAGAUCUUCUAUUUUGAUGAAUCUGAUUGUUUAUUGGUUUUGAUAAGUUCAAAAAUCAGCUACAAUUAUAAUAAGGAAAAGGACAAAGAGGAGUGAAUCUGAUUGUUUGCUGCUUGAAUUCACACGUGGGCUGGGAAACCAAAUUGGCCUCCUAUUUGCACAUUUUAAUAAAAUAAAUAACUAGUUAAUCUCCUGUUUUGAUCAAAAUAAAUGGAAGAGUGUGUCAAAUGAAAUUUCUAUACAACUUAACUAGUUUAAUUAAUUAAAGUCCUAACUAUUCUAAUACAAUAAUUAUUAGAAGACUUUAUCAUAAUCCAAAUCCUAUAUGAUUAAGAAUAAUAAUUUCUAUCUUAAUUAAAGUAGAUUAGUAUUACAAGUAACCAAUAAUUUAUUAUAAUAAAGAGACUUUAUCCUUUGCACACGUAAACACUAGGAUAAAUUUAGUUUCCUUAUUAUAUUUGUUAAACAACUUAAAUGGAUAACUAAUAAUCUCCUAAUGGCCGAAACAAACUAUUUGCAUACUAAAUAAAUUAGAAUUUCAUUUAUACCUUGAUUCUUCCAUUGAUUCCAUCUUAAUUCAACUUAUUCAAAAUAUCAUUUUCUUAAUCCUUAUAUAUAUAUAUUUAAUUAUUAUCUAUCAAAGGAGUCCAAUAUUGAUAUAGUAAUUUAGCACGAAUUAAUAACUAAUAUUAUUAACUAAGUAGUUUUCUUAAUUGGCUAUAACUCAAGUUUAACGAAUCCAAAUUGAAUUUUUCUUGAGUCCAUAAUUCAUCAUUUAUUACGAGUUUCAAAAUGAGCCCAAUAUUGAUAGGGUAAUUCUAACUCCUUCAAUAAUUAACUAUUCGGCCUAUUUAAUAAAGGUAUAAAAUCUGAAACUUAUUUUCACUUUGGUCCCUCAACUAUAAAGAUAUUCACAUAGAUCCAAAUUAACUAUAGAGAUAACCAAUUAACUUGUAUAAGGACUUAACUAAACAUUGCAUUCCUAUUAAAUAAAUUAAUGCUAAGUAAAAAUUUGGGAUUUUAC